AUCCCAUUGGCUUUACUCUUUUUGCAAUGAGGAAAUAGUGUUUAUAUUUCAAGGUUUUCUUGUAUGCGAUUUCGACUUGGUUUAGCUAUUUACUCUGAUAAACAUAAACCAACGUCAUAAAGCUUUUUUCAAAACUGUUUCGUGUUUUAUUUUUCUUCUGCACUUAGCUAUACAGACCAAGCGUAAUAGCAACAUCCAGUGCCGUGCCAAGGAUUUUAAGUGCUUAGACAAAUUUUUAAAAUAAAUUUAUAUACAACUAUAAUGAAAACAAUUUUCUAAUACGAUUCGUCAAAUAUAAAAGUUUAACACUUACAAAAAUAAAUUUAUUAGGUAAAUAUGCUAUAUUAUAUCAUAUAAAAAAUACAUAGAUUUAUAAAAUGAGUUACUCGAUUCUCGUAAAAAAAGUUUUUUAGAAAAUAUUUCUUCCAUUUCAGAUUAAUUGUGGUUGUAAGGUAAAAUUUUUGUUUCAAAAUAAGUGUCGUUUCAUAAUUUCAAUGCAAAAUUUAUUAAUUUUUUAUUUCAAUCUAUUCUUCUAUUGGUUGAAAUUUGGUUAGAUGUAUUGGUAAUGAUGUUUUAUAUAGUAAAUAUACAAAAUUAAAUAUUUUUUUAAUCUGUGUGUCUAAGUCUAAAAUGACAAUUAAAAUGAAACGAAUGGAAUAAAUCUAAGCAACUAGACUAUAAAUUAUUUUAAAUUUUGGGACCCUAAAAAAAAUAUUAUUCAGGGACAUAAAACAAAUGCAUUUUUCAAUAUAUUGUAGGCACACCUGUUGCAACAUUGAGUUAGGCUUGAAGUUUCGUCGAUGACUGAGAUUGAACAAAUGUUUGUGUAAAAAUCACAUUAGUUCGGAAUAAUUUUUUUUUGGAACACAUAUUUUGGGAAUAAAUUAUUUUCUGAAAAAUUAUAGUCUAUAGACAUUAGGCCUCGAAAUUUUAACUUAAACCCGAAAACCCAAACCGGAACCGAUCUGAAAAUACCCGACCCGAAACCGAACCGAAAAUUUACAAGUACUUUUUGGGUCUAAAUUUCUUUUACCCGAAAGAACUGGAACCGAUAGGAACCGACCCGAAUAGAUCCGAUCCGAUAAGAACCGCCUGAAUAGACCCGACCCGAUAAGAACCGAUCUGUACCCGACUUAAAAACAAACUAUUAUUUUUUGUGUUCUAUUUUAUAUUUAUUAUUUUAUGAUUUAGUUGAAAUAUCUUCUGUUAACAACAUUUGUUAUUAUUUUGUAACAUUUAUAAGUAAUAAGAAGCUUUAAAAUGUAAAAUUUAGAGUUUCAAAAUGUUUUAUUUUAAUUAUUAAUAGUUUUAUUUAAGUUAUUUUGUAAAAUUUUAGAUAUAUGACAAAUAUUGACUAAAUUUGAUGGAGUUUGAUAUGUCAUGUCAUUUUCAGAUCCUAAAUAGCCGAAACCAACCCGGACUCGAUAUAGACCAAAAAUUACGGGUAUUUUAAUUAUAAACCCGAACAGAUCCAGACCCGAGAAGAACCGACCCGAACCCGAACCAAAAAUUUAUAAGUACUUACUGGCUCCAAAUGUUUAGGAUCCGAAAAGAACCGGUCUAAACCCGAUCCAAAGAACCGAACGUCCAUGUCUAAUUAGCCAUUAUAUCAAAAAUAGGAAAAGUAAGAUUAAAGAAGAAGAGAAUGGGGGAAGAGAUAUGUUAAACGAGCUGUACCAAUACAAACCGGUAAGCCCAAUUCUUGGCCCAUAUCAAUACCACAUCGUCUCCUUCGCCGCGCAAUGUUACGUGUCAAAUCUUCUUAGAGUUACGAUCUGAAUCCGAUCGCUGCUGUAGAAUCAGUUUCGUGCUCCGCAGAUUCUCGAGCUUCCUCUCUCUCACUUGAGGUAGUCUCCGCUCUCUAACCAUUUAUCAAAAUUGAUCUCAGUUUAGAAUUCUGUUAAACUCAUAUUCAACGAUGAUUGAUCCAGAUCUUUCCGAGCUCCAGAAGAAGGUCGGAGAGAGAGUUUCUGUUAUACGUUUCUUGAUCUGAAUCAUAGUAGACGAUCUUCUUGAGAAAGAGACGAAAGGUCUUUGCGGAAGUUGCCAGUUUUGAAUUUGAAGUUAAACUACCGAUUCUAGAUGAGGUCUAGGUAGAAUCUAGGAUUGUAAUUGAUCUGCUCCCUUUGCUUUGUUUGCCUAUAUCUUCAUCAAACAGUUUCAGGUGUUAAGCAAUAAUGAAUACGGAGAAUCGGAAUUUUCCAGCUAGGCCUCCUCCUCCUCCGUCCUCCUCCUCUCCAUUCGCAUCUGCUCCGCCGCCAGGUGUUCCACCUCAAUCCGGUGGACCAGAGGCGGUUGGCUUUAGACCACCUGCAAGGCCUUUCACACCUCCUGGUCCUCCUAUGGCUCCACCAGCGGGUGUGAUGAGGCCUGGCCAACGUCCUUUGGUUUCUCAGCUUCCAGGGAGUAGACCUCCACCGCCAUCGUUUCCUUCAACAGCUUAUGGUCCUCCUGGUGGUGGUGGUUCUUUUCAGCGGUUUCCAGCUCCUCCUCCUCCAUUCCCGGCUACACAAAACCCUCCUCCUAGUGGGCCACCACCACCUCAAACUCUUGCAGGUCACUUAUCGCCUCCAUUGUCUUUUCGCCCACAGCAACCAAUGGGACCUCCUCCACCGAGUAUGACUUCUGGAUUACCUGGAGGGUUUGCUUCUCCCCCUGGUCCUGGUUUUCAACAGUCCAUGCCUGGUGGUCCACAGCCAUCUUAUCCUGGUUAUUCCAGCAAUCAGGUCUUACAGGGCCCUCCAAAGCCGUUCCAGUCUCCAUCUCAGGGUCCUCCGUCUGCAGUCUCAUCGUACCCUCCUCAGACAGGAGGUUUUGCUCAGCACCCAGGACAGCAGAAUAUGCAUCCAAGCUAUGCGCCUCCUCCUACCAGUAACGUCCAAGGCUUGGUUGAAGAUUUCAAUUCGCUGUCCCUUUCAAAUAUUCCGGGGUCGCUUGAGCCAGGACUUGAUCAUACCUCAUUUCCAAGGCCAUUGGAUGGCGACGUGGAGCCGAGUUCGUUUGCUGAAGCGCACCCUAUGAAUUGCCAUUCUAGAUAUCUACGGCUGACAACUAGUGCGAUUCCAAAUUCCCAGUCUCUGGCGUCGAGGUGGCAUUUGCCUCUAGGAGCUGUUGUUUGUCCACUUGCUGAGGCUCCUGAAGGGGUUAGUAUUUGCCAAACUAAUAAUCAAGUCUUUGAAGUUCUUUCAUGUUUUGAUAAUCUGGAACUCUUCACGUGCUAUAUAUGAGCAUAUAACUUUUCCCUUAUUUUGAACAUUGUCGUUUUUAUCUGUUCAGGAGGAAGUACCACUAAUUGAUUUUGGCUCAAGUGGCAUCAUCCGCUGCAGAAGAUGCCGUACCUAUGUGAAUCCUUAUGUUACUUUUACAGAUUCUGGAAGAAAGUGGCGGUGUAAUAUUUGUUCUAUGCUUAAUGAUGGUAAUUUUCUGAAUCCUCAGGAUUAGUUUUGUUAACCAAAGUGGUAUAGAACGCCGUUGUUAAUUGAAUACGCCUUGUCCAAUGGUCAUGCAGUUUCUUUCUCUUUGAUUUUUCUUAAUGGUUAGUUUUUUCAAGUUGUGUUUGUCUAAUCCGCGUGAGUAGAAUUAUCGUAAAUGGAUCUCGUUAAAAGCUACAAGGAACUGUUUUGGUGUUGUGUAUACUUUUUCUAUUGUGGUGGAAUGUCAUCCUUGUACAUCUGCUAUGAAUUUUUUUCAUUCACUGGAAUGUCCUUUUACUUUCCAUAGAGUGAUGGCUCUGUGUUCAGUACUUUAAGACAUAUGCUUAUAAUAUGAAUAAUAAUGGUUAUGACUAAAUUCUUGUUCAGUGCCUGGUGAGUAUUUCUCACAUUUAGAUGCUACUGGCCGAAGAAUGGACAUGGAUCAACGUCCUGAGCUGACAAAGGGAAGUGUUGAAAUCAUUGCUCCAACAGAAUACAUGGUUCGGCCUCCGAUGCCACCAAUCUACUUCUUCCUCAUUGAUGUUUCAUUUUCUGCAACUAAAAGUGGGAUGCUUGAGGUAAGCAUGUUGGAUUUUAAUAUUCCACCUUGUAAUUUUGUUGCAUUAGCAUUAUUCUUCUUUAGUUGGUACGAACCAAUCAAUACCUGCUUUUAUCUGAAUACACUACGUGUCAAUGGAUCUAGACUAGAUUAGACCUGCUCUCGCCUUUAGAGGUAUGCUGUAAAAUUUAGAUCUUAUGCUGGCCUUUUUUCUCCUUUGGCAGGUUGCUACUCAAACGAUUAAGUCAUGUUUGGAUAACCUGCCUGGUUAUCCCAGAACACAAAUUGGAUUUAUUACUUAUGACAGCACUUUACAUUUUUACAACAUGAAGGUAACAGAAAUACGUAGGAAUUUUUGUUCUGAAAUACUUAAGCGUUUAUCAUAUAUUAUUUUUGGGCCUUGGCAAUGCAGUCAUCUUUGAGCCAGCCGCAAAUGAUGGUCGUUUCUGAUCUAGAUGAUAUAUUUGUCCCAUUGCCGGAUGAUCUCCUUGUCAAUCUAUCUGAGUCUAGAAAUGUAGUGGAAGCCUUUUUGGACAGUCUGCCUCUGAUGUUUCACGAUAAUGUCAAUGUGGAAUCGGCUUUUGGUCCAGCCCUCAAAGCGGCGUACAUGGUUAUGGUUAGUUACUAUGCUGCCAUGAAUGAAAAUCAAAUAAUUCAUUUGAUCUGAGAGUCUUAUAUGGAACCUCAUCAGGAAUUUGUAUCAGUUUGGAGUUGACUCUGUUUUCUCUCUCUCUCUAUUUCAGAAUCAACUUGGUGGCAAGUUGCUAAUUUUCCAGAACUCGUUACCUUCUCUUGGUGUUGGGCGGUUAAAGUUGCGCGGAGAUGAUCCUCGUGUCUAUGGAACUGACAAAGAAUAUACUCUAAGAGUAGCUGAAGACACCUUCUAUAAGCAAAUGGCUGCCGAUUGUACCAAGUUUCAGAUAGGAAUUAAUGUUUAUGCGUUCAGUGAUAAGUACACUGAUAUUGCCUCAUUAGGUACGUGAACGUUACAGUUAUUACUGGUUUUUUCUUUCAAGGGUGUGGAGUCAAUAUGUAACUAAUGGUGCCGUCUUCCCCCUGUUAAGUAUUGCUGUUUUAAGUGCGGAGGCUUUAUUAGUUUAUGUAGUAAAAUGCAUUGGUUUGUGUAGGGACUCUGGCAAAAUACACUGGAGGACAGGUGUACUACUAUCCAGGCUUCCAAUCGUCUAUCCAUGGAGAUAAGUUAAGACACGAGCUGGCUAGAGACCUUACAAGGGAAACUGCGUGGGAAUCCGUUAUGCGAAUAAGAUGUGGAAAAGGUUUAACAGUUUAUGAUACAAUAUUCAUUUGUGUUACCUGUUAUGUCACUAAAGAUUUGUUAAUUCGUUGGUAUGCUACAUGUGAUCUUAUAUAUUUGGGCAUGCAGGAAUUCGUUUCUCGUCCUACCAUGGGAACUUCAUGCUAAGGUCUACUGACCUGCUUGCUCUUCCUGCUGUUGACUGUGACAAAGCAUACGCAAUGCAGCUAACUCUGGAAGAGACAUUGCUAACAACCCCGACGGUGUAUUUCCAAGUCGCUUUACUGUAUCCUUGAAUAGUUGAUAUUUAAACCACAUUUUGUUUGAUUUUUAGCUGGUACACAUCAUUUGGUUUUGGUAAUCCUUGACAAAACUAAAGAUACACUGCUUCUUGCGGAGAGAGGCGUAUAAGGGUACACACAGCUGUUGCACCAGUGGUUACAGAUCUUGGAGAGAUGUAUAGACAAGCAGACACCGGUUCCAUUGUCUCUGUAUAUUCUAGAUUAGGUGCGAUACAUUUCAAUUCUUCCCAGUAGCAUCAAUGUUACUUUGGAUUCUAUUUCAUGGCCGUUUUAAUUCUGCAGCAAUUGAGAAAACUUUAUCCUCAAAAUUGGAUGAUGCACGGAAUGUCAUACAGCAAAAGAUUGUUAAAGCUCUCAGAGAGUAUCGUAAUCUUAACGCGGUGCAGCAUCGGUUGGGGUCUAGACUAAUAUACCCAGAGUCUCUGAAGUUCUUGCCACUUUACGGAUUGGCAAUUGGUAAGUCCACUCCUCUUCAAGGUGGACCUGCUGAUGCUUCACUUGACGAGCGCUGUGCGGCGGGCUUCACCAUGAUGGCUCUGCCUGUCAAAAAGCUAUUGAAGCUGUUAUAUCCCAGUUUAUUCCGUGUUGAUGAGUGGCUCUUAAAGGUUUGUGCAUCUUUAUCUCAAUGUACAUUAUCAAACAUCUUUUCCGAGAAUUUUUAAAUCAUUUAUGAAUUCACAUGUUUGCAGCCAUCAGCGGACCUUGAUGACCUUAAGGACGUAGUAAGGAGAUUGCCUCUGGCUGCAGAGAGUUUGGAUUCUAGAGGCCUUUACAUAUAUGAUGAUGGUUUUCGAUUGGUUUUGUGGUUUGGCCGAAUGCUUUCACCUGACAUUGCUAAAAAUCUUCUUGGGUCUGACUUUGCAGCAGAGCUCUCAAGGGUAUGCUCUUUUAAUCUACAUGCAUCUUUCUUUACAUAUGAACGGAUAUGAAAUGCAAUUAUUUUAUCUAAAUGCUUUUUUCAAGUAUCUGGUAACAUCACAGUAUGUGUGUCUUUCUUAUUUGUGGGACUUUAGGUUACACUGCAAGAGCAAGAGAAUGGGAUGUCGAAGAAGCUAACGAGGCUGAUAAAGAAAGUGAGGGAGAAUGAUCCGUCAUAUCACCCCAUGUGUUUCCUAGUGAGGCAAGGAGAACAACCCCGAGAAGGCUUCCUUCUUCUCCGACAUCUCAUUGAAGACCAGAUGGGCGGUUCGACUAGUUAUGUUGAUUGGAUUCUGCAACUUCACCGCCAAAUCCAACAAAAUGCGUAAUAGUAUCACAAUGGUAAGAAACCUUCACAUUCAUUACAUGCGUAGUGUCUUAAGGUCACAUGUUCAACGCUUCUUUUUUUCUUUUCCAGGCAACUUGGUUGACUGAAUGCGCGCGCCUCUCUGGACCAUUAAAGAAACACCCAUGAGCUCAAAGUCUUCUUCUUAAAGCAGUUUAUUGGUAUCACAGGCAGAAGUUUCAGGAUCAUUGCGGUCUCUGCUUCUUGGGCAUAAUGUUGUUGUUUUGGAAAAUUACAGAAGCACACUACCCUUUGACAUUUUUUUUUUUUCAUUUGUUUUCUAUAGAACUUUUCUCAAGUGCUGGCUUUGAUUCGCCUAUAACCUGAAUGGUUGUCUAAAGAUUAGACGUUUUUGUUUUUCUUCUGUUGCCAUACCUUUUCGCUAUUCAAAUUUUCUUGUGCGUCUGUACCAGAUUUGUUUUGGGAGUUAACAAUCUGUCUUUAAUCAGGGAUAUUAACAAUAGUAUUGUCUUGAUGAAGGUGACUACAUAUAAUAUAACAAACUAUACAAUGGCAAUCAAUAAGCAAAAAUGAAAUGGUGUUGAUAUGAAUACGAGUGAAACAAUCUGUUAUCCUUGUAAAUUGAUGUUGUCUAAUCCUUUCAUCAUGUUUGAGAAAAAAGACCAUUGAUAAUGAAUUUAAUUUAACAGUUCAAAGAAAAAAGAAGACCAUUCUGAAACGUUUUUUUCAAGUAUUCUGGUCGGUUCGAAUCGGCCCGUUUGGUUUAGGAGAGUACACGUGUCAAUAUCUGAGUGGGUCGUACUUUCUAGAACGGUAUGGAAAAAGUCCGCGUCGCUUAUACGACGCCGUGUUGGAAUCUCGGUCGCUUGCUUUUAUAAACAAACCUCUCUGUUACUUAUCGUCUCAGAUUUAAAAGCAUAUCGAAUUGUAUUCCGAGCUUGCUGGAGGAAGAAAGAGCAUCGAUUUACAUUCGUUCGUUAUCGUAAGUUAUCUCUCCCUCCUUCGUUAAUCACAAAUCUAUUUUACCAAUUACAUGUUCCCGAUUUAGCAUUCGUGGUCUCUCGAUUUGGAUUUAUCUAUUUGCGGGCACUCCUUUUUUUUUUAUAGUUGUUUCUGGAUUUUGAUAUUCGGAAAAUUCUUGAAUCCUAGAUCUGUUCGAUUGAAAAAUCUCGUGCGGGAGUAUUGAUUUCGAGAUUUCUAAUUUUCUUUCCAGGCAGUUAAGUUGUUUAGAGCCUUGUGUUCGAGAAUGUCUGAGGUAUGAUUCUCUUUUUGUUUUCAUCUCUCUUUUGAAGUUAAUUGCUUGUUGAUUAGUUUGGUUGAAUUGGUGAAAUAUAUAUAACAUGGCAGGAAGCGCAUAAGGUUACGUUGAAUGUCUAUGAUCUAAGCCGAGGCUUGGCACGCCAGCUCUCUGCUUCAUUUCUGGGAAAGGUUAUCGAAGGUGUCUGGUGAGUUCUUUCUCUCCUAUACAUGAUAUCAUUACAAGUUACAAGAAAGCUGAAAGUCUUAACCUUUUAGCUCGACAGUGUUGCAUUACUAAAUCAUGUUAUAAUUGGAAUGUUUGUAUGUAUGCGUGAAGAAAGAUUUUGAUAUUAACCGUCAUGCUUUUGUAUCAUUUCCGUAUAUUAUUUUCUUUCAUUCACUUGUAAUCUGGUAUAGUAAACAUUUGAGCUAUGUAUCCCUUUCUCAGGCAUACGGGAAUAGUUGUGUAUGGGAGUGAGUACUUUUUCGGAGGAGGAAUCCAGCAUUUGCCUGCUGGAACCACCCCAUAUGGAGCACCGCUGCGAACCGUAGAGCUGGGUGAGACACAUGUUCCUAAAGACGUGUUCGAGAUGUACUUGGAGGAGAUCAGUCCACGUUACACUGCUGAAUCCUACAAUCUGCUUGCUCACAACUGCAACAACUUCAGCAACGAGGUAGCUCAGUUUCUGGUUGGUAAAGGGAUUCCAGACUACAUUCUUCAGCUUCCCAACGAGGUCAUGAACAGCCCCAUGGGUGGUCUUAUAAGUAAGUAGCUUAUACCUUGCAAUCUGUUUUGCUUUUAGCUCGUAUCUGAUCUAGUUUCAUCUCCUCGUUUGCAGUGCCUAUGAUUCAAAACCUGGAGACAACUCUAAGAGCCGGCGCUGUUCCUAACGCUCCCCAGUUUAGGCCUCAGACACAACCUCUUGGAGCUUUUAGCAAGGAUGAAGGUCCAAAACUACCCAACAAACCUGAGAAAGCGCCCAAGUCUGAGGAUGUCAAAACCUCAGCUCCAACUGAAAAGGUGUCACCGGUUGCUCAAGCUUCUUCUAGUAAGGAGAAGGUGAAGGAGGAUCCACUGGGUGAUGCUAGGAGCAAGAUUCAGGAAGAGAUCACCCGUGAGUUUGCAGCUCUCAUGGCGGAAGGCACACUAAGAGCAAGUGAAGCAGCCGCUAUGGCGACAAAGAGAGUGAUGCAAAAGUAUGGACAUCUCAAUGUAUCUGCCUAGAGUCUAAUAAAACAAGAUUAAACCAUUUACUUUGCUACUGUAUUGAAACUGAGUCAAAUAAUUUUGAACGAUUUUUAUUACUAUUUUUUCAACUAUAUUCGUAUAUCGACCUUCAACGAUUUACAGAUUAAAAAAUCAGAAAAUAAAAGAGUAAAGAGAUAUAAGCAUCGUGGCAGUUAGGACACUAGUGUCUCUGAAGAAUCUACUCCUAUGCUAUCAGACACAACCUGAGGAGGAUCUGUGAACGAUGUUCCAGGUUCUAACUCAAUAAUAGAUGUCUCUUUGGAUCUGUAAAACAUCUCUAGUGGAAUAUUGAUGCCUGCAAAGCCAACCAUUACAGCUACAGCACCAAUGAAGUCGGUGAAGCUUGGUUUGUUCCCCGAUAAGCUGUCUACAAUCGCUGCCAAUGGAACCUGAAUGGUCAGCCCAGCCGAUGCCACCGUGGUCGCUGUCAAAAGCACAGCCUUUGCCCAAAGGUAGUCACUGAGUACAUUAUCUAACAAACCUGAAAACGCUAAACUACACAUCAUUCAAAACAACAUCCCAACAUCAACUCCAAAGAUUAACUUGACCUUAUAUACCUUUGCCAACCACCAGACCCAACUGUUUCGAGGUCAGUGCGUUGAACCGUUCUCUCUUUGUGAAGUUGAGUAUCAGAGCACCAGGUAAGAAAAUAAAGAAGUUGAAGAGACCUAGAAACCCAAGAAGCUGAGCCAUACUAAACCGGCCGCUACCUUCAUCAUCAUCAGGAAGAUUUUUGCGUAUAAGAGUGAUGUAAACAGCGUAAAACACCGCCGAGAUCAGAGAAAGAACAUCUCCAAGAAGAGGGUUCUUAGCCGUUGCAGUUGAGUUGGACUCCGAGUCUCCCAGACUCACAAUAAUGGUCCCAGACAUACAAAGAAGAACGCUGAUGAGCUUCAACCACGUGAACUUCUCUCCCAAGAAUAUUAGUGAUACCAGAAACGUGAAUAGGCUUGAUGAGCUGCUUAAGAUAGUAUUCGACUGCAAGCAAAUUCACACAAAAAUGAAAAAAAAACAAAAAGUCUUGCUAACUUUAGCAACACGCAUGCAUCCGUGUCCAACACUCAUUCACACAAAAGCAAAGUUCUUUUUACCGUAACGGUCGUGUACUUGAGAGAGAGAUUGAAAGUAAGCUGCGCCAAGAACCAAAACGGACAUAUCACAAGGCUUACUUUAGCAACACGCAACCUCGUCCAACGUCCCUUCUCAUCUAACCCUUUCCCACCACUACCAACCUCAAGCUCUAAACUUUCCAAUCUAUCUGACUUCACACCACCCUGACCAAGCAAAACAGCCUUGUCUGAUUCGACCAGUUCGAGCAAAUGAGACCUUUUGUUUCUCCAAAACAUUAAACUUCCGUACGAAUCUUCGAGGUACCGACCGAUCUCGAAGAGAGGAAGGUAAACGACGAAGAGAGAGUUACAAAUGAAAGUGAUCAAGAAGGGAGAGACCCCUGCGUCCACCACGGACUGGACUACGAAGCUGGCCGCGAUCCAAAUCGUGGCGACGGCGAAUAUGUAUAUAAGACCUAACACCCAUCUCCAUGCCUUACGUGACAUGUCUCUUUGAUUGCCAAUUAGUGAGGGAAUAAAUAAACUCGAGCUCACAGAUCUCUCACCCUAUCAAGAUCAAUGAUAAGAUCCUUACAAAGAGAAAAAAAUUCUCAGGGAUACAAAGAACGACAACGAGUCGAUAAAGAUCUAUCAAAACCAUGUGAAUAUGAAUGGCGGUUCGAUUAGAGAUCGGUGUGAAGUUGCUCGAUCUAUCAAUGACUAUUCAAAGUGGAAUCAGAGAGCCAACGCAAACGAGAUAGCUAGAGAGAAUGUUUGGCGAAUGUUUUUACUUCACAAUUUGGGCUUUCUUAUCAGGCCCAACUUGAGAUUUCUUAUUAGUCCAAUCAGGUUUAAGGCCGAUUGAGAUAACCUUUGUUUCAAGUUUUUUUGUCGUCGUUGUUGUUGUUGUUUUUUUCUUAAAAUCCAAGUAUUUCGGAUAUGAAGAUUCUACUAAUCCCGGAAGCAAAGAGACAAACCAUGUAAAAUACUCCAUGCUCCACAUGUGCGCAGUUUAUUUGAGUAAUAAGUUUCGAAUCCGGCGUAUUUACUAUUAGACACAAAGUGUCCCACAUCGGAUGUUGCAAGAAAUCUUUAGUAAUAUAUAAGAUAGAUGACCACUCCACUUAUCACUAAUUGAUUUUAGAUUGAAAUCUCAUCUAGCUUAACAUGGUAUCAGAGUCUGGUCCACGCAGUCCAACCCGAUCCACAUCGAUCUAGCCCAAAGUUGGUCCAUCAAUCCUUGCCCGAGCAUUCCGAGAUUAACGUUCAAAGAGCCAUCAUUUCGAGGGGGCGUAUUAGACAAAAAGUGUCCCACAUCGGAUGUUGGAAGGGAUUCUUAGUAAUAUAUAAGAUAGAAGGAUCACUCCACUUAUCACCAAUUGGUUUUAGUAGGCCUGGGCGUUCGGGCACCCGUUGGCGUUCGGAUCGGAUAUUUCGGAUUUCGGUUUUUUAUAUAUCACCUCAUAGGUCCCAUUCUAGUAAUUUUCUAACUACGGGUCGGGAUCGGAUAUAACACCUCGGUUUCGGGUCGGUUUUGUAUCACAUUUGAAAACCCAUAAAGUAACCAUAUAUUAUUUGGGUUCGGAUUUUUUUGGAUCGGUUCGGGUUAUACCGAAGUAAAAGACAAAAAAAACAAUAAAUAAAAAGAAACACAUAACUGAAUGUGUGAAACUGAAUGCAAAGGUUUUUAAAACAGAAAAUAGCAACAUCCUAAAACGCAUCAACACUGAAAAUAGCAACAUUUAAAAGUUUUGAAGCAGAAGACUUAAAAGAAACAACAAACAUAAACUGAAACACACACACGUAAAUGAGAGACAUUGGAACAAUCUUGAGCUUAGGAGUACUUGACAAUCAUGAUGUGGAACGUUCUACUCCUGCCAAAAGAAAAACGUAAAUGUUAAGCUAAAAAAACUGAAACAGAAGCAAAUCAUUAUAAACCAAAAGGUGUUUAGUGCAAUACCUUAGAAACGAAGAGGCUCUUGAUGUCAUAUAGCAAAUUCUGAUGCAAGACAGAACAAAUCAAAUCAGUAAAGAAAAAAAAUUUAAAUCUAAAAGUUACAAGAGAGAUGACAUACCUCUCUCAAUCUUUUCUUGUUCUUCAAUGUCUUCAAUGAUUUCUGCAUUAGUAAGCACUCUUGACUCGCAAGAAAUGUCUUGCUUAAGCCAUUGUUCAGUACACAUCAAUACCUCAAUCAUGAAGUGAGUAAGACAACUUCGAGAUGGGCUUAUGAUCCUUCCACCCGUACUGAAGGCACUCUCGGAUGCAACAGAAGAAACCUGCAUUGCAAGGACAUCCUUUGCAACCCGUGACAAAAUUGGGAACUUGGUACAAUUUCGCUUCCAAAACGAGAGCACAUCAUACUCUAAACCAGCCAUAAUAUCUGGAUUCUCAACUCCUUCUUUCAAGUAUAUAUCCAGCUCAUCCCGAUAAAAAUUUAAAUCUAAAAGUUACAAGAGAGAUGACAUACCUCUCUCAAUCUUUUCUUGUUCUUCAAUGUCUUCAAUGAUUUCUGCAUUAGUAAGCACUCUUGACUCGCAAGAAAUGUCUUGCUUAAGCCAUUGUUCAGUACACAUCAAUACCUCAAUCAUGAAGUGAGUAAGACAACUUCGAGAUGGGCUUAUGAUCCUUCCACCCGUACUGAAGGCACUCUCGGAUGCAACAGAAGAAACCUGCAUUGCAAGGACAUCCUUUGCAACCCGUGACAAAAUUGGGAACUUGGUACAAUUUCGCUUCCAAAACGAGAGCACAUCAUACUCUAAACCAGCCAUAAUAUCUGGAUUCUCAACUCCUUCUUUCAAGUAUAUAUCCAGCUCAUCCCGAUUAUCUUUUACUCCAAUCUCAUUAAGCAUCUCCUUGUACCUUCGACCAAUUCGCUUGUAACCUAGACCAUCAUCAUGUAAAUCCGUACCAAUCAUGCUCAGUUCUCGACUACAAGGAGUGGAUCUACUGUUGUUAGUUUUAGCUUCAUCAGAUUUCCCACCGGCUUCCUUCCCAUAUCUUGCACUAUACUCUUUAAAUAAACUGCGCAAAACAGACAUCACCGAAUCAUACAUUGCUUUCCCUUCCAAACUGUCUUUCCCGUAGAGCUCAUCAAAACACAAGCUUGCCAGCACCAUCUUCUUUGUUGGAUCAAAAACUGUUGCCACAAUUAACAUCUUGUUGAUGUUCUUCAGCCCAUCCCAGUACUUGUCAAACUUUUUGAACAUCUCCUCAGCCUUAUCCUUCAGCUCAUGAUCUGUGCUUUCACUUAACGCCAGAAGGUUGGUGGCUAUGUUCACAAUCUCCUCGUAACACUUGUGAGCAUUGAGAGAUGUUGACGCAGACACAACUAGUGUAGAGUUGUAGAAGAUCACCAAGAAACGACCUAGUCUUUCGAUUGCUUUCCAGUCAGCGUAUUGAGGAGGUCCCACUCUCUUCUUUCCUUUAUCCCCCACCUCCAUAAAAUAAUCGUUGUAGAGUUUAUCCUCUGUCUCCAUCUUGUCAAACGCAACUCUAAACUUCAAACCUGUACUCAACAUUAGGUAAGUGGAGUUCCACCUAGUAGUAACAUCUAAAGGCAAGCUUCCCCUAGUCAUUCUACCAGAUUCUACUUUCUGCUCAAAGGAUAUCAACCUAUUUCCUGAACCUCUAACAUAGACUACAGCAUUACGGACUGCAUCCACACUCUCAUUAGCAUCAGUCAAUCCGUCCUUCACAAUCAAGUUGAUGAUGUGUGCACUACAUCUCAUAUGCAACCAUUCUCCAUCUAAAACUAGUGCAUCAUCAGACACUAAAGAGAACUGGCCAUGAAAUCUUCUCAAGGCGGAUGAAUUAGCAGUUGCAUUGUCAACAGUUACGCAAAAUAUUUUCUCAAUUCCCCAAUCAGCCAAGACAUCUAAAAGAACCCUAGAGAUUGUCUGACCUUUGUGAUCACUGACAUGUUUGAACCCUACGAUAAGCUUCUUCAGUCGCCAACACUCAUCAAUGUAAUGCGCAGUCACCACCAUGUAACUUGCCCCUGUAAACAAUAAUAAGCAUGCCAACACGUUAGCUAUAAGCACCCAAAUAUCAGUACAUACUCAUUUAAUUUAAGAUUCAAAAUGCUUACGGGUUAUUUUAGCCUCCCAAAUAUCAGUAGUCAGAGAUACUCUUUGCUUGUUUGCUUCAAACCACUUUUUCAUAGCAGCCUUCCUCUGCAAGUACAUCUUUACAAUCUCCCUUGUUGAGGUCCUCCUUGACACAGGUUUGUCUAAUUUCAUCUGCACAGAUAAAAAAAAAAUUAUAUAAAAGAAGUCAAAACUAGUACAAUAAACUAAAGAAUUAAACAAGUAGAUACCUUGUUACAGAAGUGUUUCCAAGCCACACUUUCUACCCAACAUAAUGGUAACUCCCCUAUCACCAUCAUCUCAUUCGUUGCUUCUUUGAAAGUUUCUUCACUGACUUUUGCAGACAUCACAUUCCCUUCUUCAUCUAUGACUUGCUGAGUUGAACUUUGGCCAUCUGAAUACGAGUAGAACUGUUUGCAUAUGCUGAUAUGCUUCAGCAAGUUUGAAGUUCCCGAUUUUGUUUUACAACAAAACUUCUUCUUGCAGUAAUGACAAAUACAUUUGUCACGGUUCUCCUUCGUCCUUGUGUAAUGGUUCCAGAUUUUGGACCUUGGAGGAAGAAUCCUGGGAGCUUUAUUGGCUCCAUUGGCUGUAGGAGAUUCUUUACGUUUGCCUCUACUAUCUGGAGUAGCCAAUUCUUGUUCUUCUUCGUCCUCUACGUCUUUGUUGUUGUCAAACGAAACUCGGUUUGGAGUUGAUGAAGAAUCCAUCUGUGACAGCUUAAAUGGAACCAUUAUCAGACAAUUAUCCAUCUCAGACAAGUCAAAUUGAAGUAAUUGGAACACUAAACAAUCAUCACAGACACAAACUGGUUAAAUAGAACCGUAAACCAUCAUCAACUACACGAAACCCUACAUAACCCUUAAAUCGCAAAACAGAACAAAUGGAGACAUACCUGAGAGCGAUUUCGAGAAAUCGCAGAUGGUGGAGAUAGAGAGAAUUCCCAAUUUCGGUUUUGAAACAUGAGUCCCUUCGAUCAACUCUCUUUGAUUUAUAUGGAAUUAGAGUUUUCUCAAGAUUAAGAAGACGAGGAAUCGCCUAGCGUGAGAAAAGCAAAACUUGGAAACAUAAACAAUUAAUGUUACGCGUGUUUUGGUUUAAAGGAGAGUAUAUACAUAUAUAUUACUAUAUGUAUACAUAAGUCUGGUUAUUUCGGGUUAACUGUUUGAUUUCGGAUUAAACCGAACCGACCCCGAUAACCGAAAUAUCACCAAAUCAAAACCGAUCGGGUAUUUCCCAAAAUAUCAAACCGAACCGAUAUCCAUUUUUCGGGUCGGGUUCGGGUUCGGGUUCGGGUUUCGGAUAUUAUGCCCAGGCCUAGGUUUUAGGUUGGAAGCCCAUCUAACUUAACAAUUACCAUCAUUUUAAGUUCGUUGUACCACCUCACCACACUCAUGUUAGUUUUGUUGUUUUUUUUUGUUUCUCUUUAAAUACCAAUUUAUCAAGUUUGCAUUAGAGAUUGUCGUCGAGUCUCUUUUGUCACACAUCAGAACUGUUAAUGUCGUGGCCUCGUUAAAAUGUAGCUUCGACGAAUGACUUAUUAAUUUUUGGCAGGCCUUCAUUGACAUCGAAUGAACAAAAGAACCCUUUGACACUUUACCAACAGAGCUUAUGAUAAAGACAUAGAGACACUUCAUAUGCUAGUGCUAUAUAACUUCUCUUUAUGGCUUUCCAAUGACAAAAGCAAGGCCGAUCUUGAGAUUCCUCAGACUAUAAGGAAAAGUAAUGUUAGAAAGAUUUUUUACUUCUUUGAUAGAUUUUCAUUUUGGUCAAUUUCUCUUUAUAUGUUUUUUUGGUGAAAAAACAUAUUUUAGUGUUUAUUGAGAUAAUUGUCAUUUUAAAUAUUUAUCUAUGAUUUUAUUUUCAAAAUAAUAUUAGAAAUGAUGUGAACAUAUUAACAUUUCAUACGUUAUUAUGCAAAUUUUCAUAUUUUGUGUUUAUAUUAAAAGAAAAAAAAUCGUAAUAUAUUUUUAUUAAAGAUUAAAGAUUGGAAUAAAAAUAUGAAUAUAUUUGCAAAACACACAAAUAACAAGAUCUAAAAUGAAAAUAUUAUACUAAAUAUAUUUUACAUAAUUUAUUUCUAUAUAAUUGAAUAUAUUAUACUAAUAUAUUGUACGUAAUUUAUCAAGAUCUUACAAAAGCAAUGAAUAAUUAAAAAAAAAGUUUAAAUGAAACAAGACUCUGAUAGAAGCUGAUAACUAAAGUUCAUAACUAGUUGUUAUAUAACCAUCAAUGCAUUUAAUAUAAAAUAUGAAAAUUUAUUAAAAUAAUAUAAAUAAUAUAAUAAAGUGUAUAUAUUUUGCAAAGUUAUUUAGAUCAUGGUUAAUGAAAAUCUUUAGUCCAAAAUAAUAAUAUUUUAUAUCUAUUACUAUUUUAAAAUACAAAUUAUAUCUGGAUAAUAUAAUUUGAAAUAAUAUAAAAUAUUCAUAUGUAAUUAGGUUAGGUAAGGAAUCACUUAUAUUAUUUUGAAUCACCGGGAAAAUAAGCAUUUAAUUCCUGAACUAUUUGAAACCGGCAAUUUAAAUACUGAAUUAUUGCUCGCACGCUUUUAUUCCCUAACUAUUUGUUGACUCGACAAAUUGAUACCUAGAAAAGUCAACUGUUAAGUCAAUAACGUUUGUCGUUAAUGUUUUACCAAUCUUCUUCUCCAUUGUACCUCAGAUACUCGAAAUCCCCAAAUUGAAACCCUAAUCUGAGAGAAAAACCAAUUCCGGCAAGUAUAGAGGAGAUUUUCGGUGACGAGAUAAAGAACUUCAAGAAGAACAAAACUCUCUGUCGAGAAGAACAAGACUCUUUGUCGGGAAACGGCUCAAGAUUUCACCGACAGAGAGUUUUGUUCUUCUUGAAGUUCUUCAUCACGUCACCGGUAAUCUCGUGUGUACUUGCUGGAAUCGCUUAAGGGUUCUAAUUUGGGGAUUUCGAGUAUCUGAGGUACAAUGGAAAAGAAGAUUGGUAAAAUACUAACGACAAACAUUAUUGACUUAACGACUGAUUUUUUUGGGUAUCAAUUUGCGGAGUCAACAAAUAGUUGGGGAAUAAAAGCAUGCAAGCAAUAGUUCGGUAUUUAAAUUGUCGAUUUUAAAUAGUUCAAGAAUUAAAUGCCCAUUUUCCCUUGAAUCACCUUACAAUUUGAGCUUUCUUAUCAAGCCCAACUUGAGAUUUUUAUUAGCCCAAUCAGAUUUAAGGCCUUUUAGGUCUGAGGAGAUUGAGAUAACUCAUGUUUCAAAUUUUUUUUGUUGUUUUUUUUCAAAUCAAGGUAUUUCGGAUACGAAGAUUCUACUAAUCUAGGAAGCCAGGAGACAAACCAUGUAAAAUACUCCAUGUUCCACAUGUGCGCAGUUUAUUUGAGUAAUAGGUUUUGAAUCCGAAGUACUUACCAUCUUUUUAAGUUCCUCGUACCACCUCAUCACAAUCAUAUGAGUUUUCUUGUUGUUUAUGUUUCUCUCUAAGUACCAAUUUAUCAAGUUUUCAUUAGAGAUUGUCGAGGAGUCUCUUUCGUCACACACCAGAACUGUCUUUUCGAUAAUGUUGUGGCUCGUUAAAAUGUAGCUCUAACAAAUGACUUAUUAAUUUUUAAUAAACAAAGAAACCCUUUGACACAUUUACCAACAGAGCUUAUGAUAAAGACAUAAGAGACACUUCAUAUCCCUAGUGUUUCUUGCCUUUGUACAUACAUUUGGAAUCUGGCUUCGGAGUUCAGAAAAUGACUUGUGGAAAUAGAUAAUUGGGUUGCUUGGACGAAUAUACCCCUCCGUCAUGAUGAAAAAAAAAACAUGUUUGUACUCUGCCAGGGCAGGUCGCGAGAAAAGCGUGUCAGUUCGGUAGAGUGACGUUCGAGAUCGUGGAUUGCCAGGUGGCUCACUUCUGCUCCCCUCAUUGUCUCCUGUUUUUUAGUUAAAAAGGUGGAUGGUAUCUACGAGAUAACAUUGGUAAAAGAAAAUCUUUUAAUUAAUUUUCUUAAAGAAGAUUUUUCAAUUAAUUUUCUUGGAUUAUAUUCAAAAUAAUAUAAGAAAGAAGAUAUUUCAUUUUUUUUAAGAAGAUCUUUUCAAAAAGGACUUUUGUUUAAAGCAUCUCCAAUAGAAUUCUAUAUUGUUUUGAAUAUAAUCCAAGAAAAUUAAUUGAAAGAUCUUCUUUCUUAUAUUAUUUUGAAUAUAAUCCAAGAAAAUUAAUUGAAAUUCUUUAAGAAAAUUAAUUGAAAGAUUUUAGUUUUAAAAAGUCCUCUUAUAAAUUUUUAUGUCAAUAUAAAUAUGCAUCAAUAUAAAGUAGAAUAGAAGAGUCAAACAAUUUAGAAACCAUCCUACAAAAUGGUUCUCUCCAAAAAUUUAUUAAUCGCAUUUAGUUUCGCUAUUUUCUUCUUGAUAUCAAAUGUUCACUGCAUUGAUACUAUUCCGGGUACUAGAAUACUACUUUGACAUUUAAUUUUGGUUGUACUAAUAUAUUGAUCGCUUAAUUUUAAUAUUAUAUUAUUUAUUAUUAUUUAAACAGGUAUUGGCAUAAAAAUGUCGAAAAUAUGCUACGAUACGGUUUCAUGUGCAGGUGACGGAGCUCAAUGCAGAACGUUUUGUACAGGUUUUAAGGCAACAGGGGUUUGUAUUUCUGAAGCUUGUUGUUGUAUAUUUAGAAACAAAAUAUUAAAAUAAUAUCGUUAGAUAAUAUAUAUAUAUUAAUAAAAGUAAAAGAAUGUAAUCAAUAGUAAAUAAACGAUAUUAUGAAAGAAAAAAUGAUAUUAUGAAAUUGAAGCUACUUACAUUAACUUCAAAAAAAAAAAUAUUGGUCAAAGUGUACUAAAAAUUUAAAAGGUAAUAUGCCAUACAUGAUAUCUCUAUCUCCAUAAUAUUAUUUGAAAAAUCAUUUUCCUACGUGACGCUUACGUUAAUUCUCACGAUGAUUGAUUACGAUGAUACUCCUAGUGAAUCAAAUAAAUCUAAUUAUCAUUACCAAAUAUUUUAUUUAUUUAGGUUCAUUUUUCUUUGUUUUUGUUAAAUAACCUAUAUAAUAAAUAAAAUUUAUAAAUUUUAUAAAAUAAAACAUCUUUUAUAUCACGUAAUUCAUAAUAAGAAAACUUCACAAAAUAAUCUUGAUGUUAAAGUAGAAAAUUAAUAUUCCCUUUUAAACGAUAAUCUUAAACAAUAAAAUAUAUAUUUUAAAAGUAUUAAGCAUUUUUUAAUAUCAAUAUGUUUUCAAAUUAUUACAAAAUAAUUUAAUUUAAUUUUUCUUUUUCAUUCAGGUUCCCUUUUAUAUUUUUAAAUAACAUAUAUGAUAAAGAACACAUUUAUAAAUUUUAAAACGAAAUAUAUAUAUAUAUAUAUACAUAUAUAUAUAUAAAUUGUGAUUUCACAAAAAAAAAGUUUAAAAAAUAACCUUGAUGUUAAAGUAAGAAAAUAAUCUUCCUUUGUAAAAUUUACCGUUUAUGUUUUUAUGCAACUUUAUACCUAUAAUCAUUUUAUUUUUAUUAUUUUAUUUUUGCAAAUUAAAAUAUACCAAAUUACUAAAAAAUAAAAAAUAUAUUAACAUAUCUAAAAUGAAGAACGAUAAACUAAUAAAAUGAAUAUAGUUAAUACGAUUUGGUUGAAUUAGAUUAUAAAUAAUUAUACUUUAAUUUAACGGAAUAUAUGUAAUACAUUAUACCCACAAAAUGAAUAACUAGACCAAUCCAAAAGUUUUUAUACAAAGUCAAACAUUGAAUAAAAAUAAUAUAUAUAUAUAUAUAGUAAUACUUUUAUACGAAUAAAUUAUAAAAAAUUGAACAUAUUAUUAAAUUAUGAAAUUUUCAAAUAAUUUUAUAAAUAUACUAACCAACUAUUACAAUUCAGUAUUUUGUAUAACUUAUAUAUAUGCAUAAGAUUUCAAAACAACAUAUAUUAAAUUAUACUUAAUCUUGCUAAAAUAUAUUUACAAAUGUAAGACUAGAAUCAAACUACAUGAAAAUAACAAAAUUAAUCAAAAUUUUAAUUUGUAUAACAAAAAAUAUUGAAUCAAAAAAUUAAAUGUUAUCUAAUAUAUCCAAAUAAUAACCAAACAAUAGAGAUAUUCUAUAUCCAAAAUUAUACAAAUAGUAACCAAAGAGUCGAGAUAUUAUAUAUCUAAAAUUAUAUGUCUAAUUAAAUAACAUAAUUUUAUUUAAAAUAAACCUUGCAUAUUUAUUACAAUAUAAAUAACAGAAUGAUUAAAAAUUAAAAAAAAAAUCAUAAAUUUUUAUAAUGUAUUUACUUUAUUAAUAUUUAUACCCGUGCAUGCGGGAAAAUCACCUAGUAGAACUGUAAAACAAGUAGGUUUCUGGUCAUAUGAUCGUAACGGUAAACUUCGAUAACUAUUUCUAUUUGUACAUUUAGCAUUUUAUCUUAUAUGAAUUUGAUAACUUUUAACGAACAAGCUACAAUUAUGUUAUUUUAUAACUGGUUGUUGAAAUAAUUGUGUAUUAUUUAUUAAAGGAGUUGAUAAUAAAAAAAUUUAAUAAUGGUUUUGUUCAUAAUCUUGCAGUUGAACACCAUUUAGUUGUUUUCAUAUCAAUUUUAUGUAUUUCGUCUUUAGUUAUUAUUCUAAAGUAUUAUAUUAAUUAAAUAAACACAUAUUAUUAGUACAAAUAAACAUUCAAAUAUUUCAUUUUUAAUAUUAGGUUUAAAUGUUAAAAUUAUUUUAUAACAAAAGAAAAUUCGUUUACUAUAGAAAAUUUGGAAAGAUUAAAUAUCACAAAAGAGAAAAUGUAUUUAUGGGAAGUUUUGCUGCCGAUUGAUGCCAAGAACUUGAGUACUGAAUGAUCUUGUUACAUCAAUCAAUUACCAUAUUCAAUCAAUCAUUAAACAAAAACAGAAUAUUUUUACAAUUAUGAAUCUGAGAACGCAGAAAUUCAUAAUCAGUGCCUGCUGUUGAAGCUUGAGAAGUUUGAACCAUUUCCAUGAACCAUCAGAUUUAUUACUGACUUGUGAGAGUUUUCCGGAUCCAUACAACCCAAAGUGAACCUAAGUUUGUAAGCAACCUCCGGUUAGGAUCAAGGGGAAUACCCUAGACAAAUCUAUCAUACAUUUGAUACCAAGUCAUCUCUCUCUGCCUUUGGUUUACAUAUAUCUUCCUAUGCAACACUCCUCCUAUAUAUUAAAUGAGAAGUCGUUUAAAUGAUUUUUGUUUAGAGCAUCUCCUAUAAUCUUCUAUACUUUUUUCUAUAUUCUACUUUAAAAUAGAAUAACUAUAUUAUAGAGUCGGAUUUGCUCUAAUGAUUUACUCUGUAACAGACCAAAACAACCAAAUCAAGAAAACAAAAAGAUGUAAAAAUGAUCAUUCCCUCAUGAUCUGACAAAUUUGAAACACCUCGACCCAGCUUCCUAUGAUGCGGUCGAUUUAUUCCGUCUAUCAACGUGCAGCCAAGAGUAUAAUCCAUGAAAUUUGCAGUCUCGAGCUAUAAAAACCCAGCUGCAAUAUAUACAUUCAAACAAAACAGAACAUACUUCUAUCACUAUUCUCUGAAACUUCAAAAACAAAAGGCCAAAAAAAAAAAAAGAAAGAAAAACAACCAAAUCAAGAAGACAAAAAGAUGUAAAAGUUUUAUAAUCAAGAAGCACUUGGGUUCCUGGAAUGUGCUGCACUUGGGUUCCGGGACUGUGCAGAACUUGGAUUUAGGGACUGUGCUGCACUUGGGUUCCGAGAAUGCGCCCUUGAAGCUACUCCCCACUCCAUUGCCUCCGCCACGGCUCUCUCCCGUUCCUCAGCCGCCGCAGGAUCCUCACGGGAUGUUUCACCCGGCGGCUGAGGAGGGGAAACGUCGUCGUAUCGUGGAACAGAGAUAGAGCCAUCAGGAGCAGUUCCCAAGAAACCGAGAGCGGUCACAACGUCGCUCAUGAGUGGCCGUACCGUUGCCUCUUCCUGUAAACACAUUGCAGCGACAGCCACUGCCUGGUUAAGUGCUUUCUCCGGGAACACUCCUUCAAGACUUGGAUCCGCUAACUCCGGGAAUCUACUCGGUUCUUUGAACACCGGUUGUGCCUAAAACACACAACAAGAACUUUGAUGUUAAGCAAGACCGGUUAACAUUUAAUUAAAAGAUUAUUAAAAAAUCAUAAUAAACCUAUGUCUAUGUAUAUAACCUCUAAUAAAUUUUGGGUGAAAACAAGAGAAACUCACCCAAGUCACUAGGUUCUGUUCAUCUUUGGGUCUGGUCGUAUCAAUAACUCUUCGUCCAGUUAUCAGUUCCAACAACACAACUCCGAAGCUGUAAACAUCUGAUUUAAUGGUUAACUGACCGGUUCUCUGAUACUCUGGAGCACAGUACCCGUAAGUUCCCAUAACUCUUGAAGACACAUGUUGUUUGUCUCCGACAGGACCUAGCUUCGCUAGCCCAAAAUCUGAUAACUUGGCGUUGAAGUCACUGUCCAAAAGGAUAUUAGCUGCCUUGAGAUCUCUAUAGAUCACCGGAGGAUCUGCCUUGUCAUGCAAGUAUUCAAGACCCAUCGCGGCUCCUAGCGCGAUUCUGAUCCUUGUGUCCCAAUCCAACGGUACUUGGUCAGGUGUUAGGUCUGUAACCAUUUCAAUAAAAUAUUGGGAACUAAUCAAAUAAAAUAGAGUGAAUAUCGAUCUUUAGGGUUUGUAGUUUUUUUUACCGAGGAGAUGAUCUUCAAGUGAACCACGAGACAUGUACUCAUAGACAAGAAGUCUUUGAUCUCCAUCAGCACAAUAACCAAUGAGAUUCACGAGAUGUUUGUGAUGCAAAAGACUUAACAUCAACACUUCUACGAUAAACUCUUUGUUUCCUUGUAGACCAUUUCUAUCUAAUUGCUUCACAGCCACAAUCUGAAUCCAAAACGACCAUUAGCAAAUUCUUGAGUCACUUGUUGUAUCAAUUCAUGUAACAAGAUUCAACAAAGAUUAACUUAUUCAGGUUUCAAUUAAAUUGAUAUUAAUACAAUAAGUAUAUAUGGACGUUUUAGGUAAACUAGUUAAACUAUCAAGAAAUCAAGCUCGAGAAACAUUAGUACUAACCUUGCCACAUUUUUCGAGUUUGCCCUUGUAAACCCUACCAAAGCCGCCUUCACCGAUCAAACAUUCUUGUCUGAAAUUCUUGGUGGCAGUAGCUAGCUCCCUGAAGGUGAAUGUCUGAGCAGCAAUGUUGUUGGUCAUUUCUUUUUCUGCAUCAUUGUUCUUGUUCUGCUCAUUUCCAGUCUUGUCUGGAAUCUCUGCAAGGACCAAAUUAACAUCCAGACUCAUAAAAACCCUAAUAUAUAAACAUUUGAAAUAUUUGAAAAUUUUGUAUAGAUUUUUUGCUGAGCUCACCAGGGUGUGUUUUGUUGUUGUCUCUACCGGUCAACUCGCCAUUUCUCCGGCGGCUGUUAUCUGAAUCUUUGGGAGUUUUUUUCUUUUCAUGGAAAUAAAAGCAAGAAAAGCAAUUCAUCUUCUCUUAACUCCUUUACGAUGAGAUGAACCCUUUCUCAAGCAACCUUUGAUCUCUCUUUCUUCUUUUCUUCUUGUUAUUAAAGAUCAAUAAAUGCCUGCAUUGACAAAAAGAAAAGAAUUAUAUAUUCAGAUAAAUACAUAAUAAUCUAGAAAUUAAAAUGUGGAAAGCAAAUUAACCUUGGAAUCCUUCAUAAACAAUGGUUGCUCCUUCCCCAAGAAACCCCCGUUAGGGUUUUCCCUCUAUCUUCACCUUUUUUUUUUCUUUUUUUUGAAACACAAAACCCAGGUCAAGAAAAACAAAAUCAACACCAAAACCGUCGGGAUCCGAAGCGCUGAAGAGACUCCUUGAAAAUUGGAUUUUUCAGGUUUAGGUUUCUGAAUUUCUCUUAAUAUAGACAAACUAAACUAUUUGUUUAAUUAAUGUAAUAAAUGGGGGUCCAUAUCUCGUUGCUCUCAUGUUUGUGUGCCUCACAUUCCUCUAAGAAAUAUGCUUUGGAGAUUUUAAAACGAAUAAAGAAGACGAAGAAUGACAUGGAGACCAUGAAGUGAAUAAUGCAACAAAAAGGUUGGAUGUAAUGUUGAUGGUUGCACGAACUAACGUAUUUUAAAAAUAAAAAAUGCGAAUUAUUGUAACAUUAUUAUUCCCAAAAACUCUUUUAAAAUUGAGAUUAAACAGAGGAGACAUAGAAAUGAUGAUGAAUUAUCUUCCGACUCUUUUGUUACAAAAUCAAGUCAACAACCUUCUUGCAAAUACGAUUGAGAUUGAUACAAUAUCCAUUAGGAUUAUUUGAAUAAUUUGUGAUUGUGACCCCAUUACAUAAAACUGGGCCGACUAAUAAUAUUGUUUACCUUGUAAUGCCACUAUGUGUAAGAGAAAAUAGCAUUGUUUGCACGCACGGCUCUAUCGUCAUCAAAGAGUGACAUCGAUCUGAGCCGAAGAAUCCGUCAAGAUAAUGUCUCUCGAGUUAUCAGCUUUUGGGUGAUCCAACGUGUCAAACUUUAUACGCACAUGCACCGGCUUCAAGAAGACAAUGUCUCUCACUUCUCUCUUUGACUUCAACAACACUUUCACAAACAAAUCUUCAUCCAUAGUCGUCAUGUUCCUUGCUGGAUUUAAAACGUCUGCUAUUCUUCUCGCCAGCUCUUCCUGGCUCGCACCUUGUGUCUCUUCGUUCUUUGCAAGUCUUAGAUACAAAGCUGCAUAAACAAUAAGCUGCACAAAACCAAAUUGGAUGCUUAAAACCACGGUAUAGGAGACUUGAGAGAAGAUUCUAGGCGUUACCUCGCUUGUGCCAGGACUUGUAUUGACAGAGCAAUCGAUGUGUAUCCGUCCAUCAUCUUCACUGACCUCAGAGAUAUCUUCUUCUUGCUCUUUUUCAUCUUCCUCAGCUAAUUCAGGGUUGACUAUUUCUUUGGCGAGGUUGUCUAAUUCAUCGUACCAUUGUUGUGAGACUCCAACCUGCAAGUCAUGCAAACAAAACUCCUUGAGCCACAUCUGAACUAAACCGGAGUAAAAGGGAAUGUAAUUCUCUUUAGACCUUUUCAGCUGGUUCCACUGCACUUCCAGCAUUUGAGACUUCGGUGAUUGAGCCUCUUGCCUGUCGCCAGAUGCAGCUUUCUUGUAACGGUUCAACAAGCUCUGUGCACUGAGGGAUCUCUAUGCUCAACCGUAUGCUAAUUUUACCUGUUAAGUCAAACACAUUAAGUCAAACCAUGCUGCAGCUAAUGUCAAAACCAUUAAGGGUUUGUCUCGCCUGGUAAUAACCGGAGUUGAUGAGUAUGGCUGAUGUGUGCUUCUUGUACUCCGUUAGCUCUGUUUUGUUUUAACCCAAAAGACCACAACAUCAGUUAAGUAAGCUUUAGAACAAGAAUAGUGCUCUUAAUUAAUGGAAAAAGAUUCACUAACAGAUUGAAAACUCUCUCCAGUGGAGUGGACAACCAAUACGGCAACCCAAGGAUCCCAAUAUUUGAAAACUGUAUGCUAGAGCAUGCUCCAGAUUCUCUAUUUAGCUUCAACACCCUCUGACCAGCUUCAUAUGUAAGAGAGAUACACAUAAGCUGAUGCAUAGAGAUGAAACAGGGAGAAUUGCACUUGUUUUACCUGUAUCUGUCAUGACAAUGUCGUCUCCAAAUUCAGAGAAAGAAGACAAAAGAGCAGCACUUGGCUGCUCCUUGCAUGAGGUGAUAGCCUUAGUUUGCUGUUGCAACCAAGUAGAAGGCAAAUGUUUCAAUAGCGAUAGCUUCUCCGUGAUCAAUUCCCCAUAGAUCUCCAUUAUCCCCUGGAACCCUUCAGAGAUUUUGAUAAAAUAAUAUAUAUGUCAGAUAAAAUAGAUGAACACGCAGUACCAUAAGAUGGUUGUUAUAUAUGAACCUUCCACAACUUCUUCGAUCUCUCCAGAAGCUAAAUUUAUUAUCCACAACUUUGAAAAGCUGAAGAAAACAAGACAAACCUAUCAGGUACCAAGAGAAAGUAAAAAAAAAUGAGCUUUCUCUGAUGUAUCAAGCAACCACUUUACCUUUUGUUAAUGACUACAAGACUAUCAUCAUCACGUUUAAGUAUAUUCCAUGGAAACAUCAGGGAGGGAGCAUCAGACUCUUCUGAUUUAGCAUCAGCAUCAACUGUUGUUUCUUCAUCUUUUUCAAAACCUAUUUUCUCCAUUAUCCAAGACCAUAAGCCAACACUCUUCUUGAUAACCUUUGGAUAUACCGUUUCCAGGACCCGCGUCUUUAUAUUUGCUCUUCUAAUGGCAUGAUUCUUAAAGAGUUAAAGAAACAAAGAGAUUAAAAAACAAUCUUAACAAGAAUAUAUUGAGUGAUCACAACUUCUUGUAGGAGUCAUAAUACCUCAGAAUCUACAAUGUAAAGGCAAUCAUCUUCUUCGUCAUACAGGGUCGCUGCAGGACGUAGCAUCUUUGCUGAUUCGAAUUCUCCAUCCUCAAAACCUGGGAAACAACCAAUCUGAAAUAGAAACAUGUCUUGAAGUUUAGCUCCACAUGAACCUUUUUUCUCUAAAAGUAACUUAAGACUUUCCCAAAUGUGAUCUAGUUCGCUUACGCUGUCUAAAAUCUCCCCAGUACUAGUGGAUAUGAUAAUACGAUGAUGGUUGCUAUCAGAAAGAAACAGACAAUCUCCAGCUUCGUCUGCAGAGAUGCAACCUGUUAUGGAGAAUGUCAAACACUAAGAGUACUUAGAGAGUAGCAUGAAAGAUAAGAAGAGAAGGUUGAAGAACUAUACCUGGAAAGUAAAGAAACAAAUCUUGCAGGAAAGAAGAGAAGUGUGGUUCCUUGAUAGCAUCAGCCUGUUUUGACCAAGUGUUGGUGAAAAGUUUGACGGACUUUGAUUUCUCAGUAUCUUGACUGAGGCUGUCAAGAGCUGCAUCAAAAGCACAAGAAGAAGAAACCAGAAUACGCAAUCAAGCACACAAAACAACAGAACCAUUAGAUGCUUUCGCCUUCUUGAAGGUAUGAAGCAAAGACUAUUCAAUAGCUUAUGAAGCAUUGCUAGAGAACAUUUGUUAGUGAUGUAGGCAUACCUUUAGCUACAGAAGCAAUAUCCAGAUCCUUGUCUUGGUAGAUUAAAGGGUUCUUAAAAUCUCUAAACACGAAGUAGCGUACUUCUUCUCCACUUGACUAAAACAAUUAGCAAAAACAUUCAAUUCAAAUCGACAAAUAAGCUUAUAACUUGGGAGAAUAAUAUACAACAAAUGAAUCGUUCUUGGAGAUACGAUAUGUUACCUUAGGAAACUCUUUCUCAGAAAGCAGUACAGGAAAAGUAAGAUAUUCCUUAACAAUCAACUCAGCUAAAGCAGCUCGAUCAUCGGUGAUUCUAGCUUGAUCACUGAAGUGAAUGCCCAUGAAACAGACUCCAGGAGACCUUUACAAGAAUCACAGAGAACUCAGCCAAAAAUCCCUGUUUAGUUGCCAUGAUUGUGAACAAAGGAACAUGCUUAAACCUCUGCUGAAGCAACUUGAGUUUCUCAAAGAAACAACUCGGAUCUCCAUUAAGCAAAUCGCCAACAAGAACUACGUAAGUCCCUUUCUCCUUGAAAAGCUGUUUAUUCUCAGUGUCACGAUUCAACCAAUGAUGGGAAGGACCUAAAGAGUUCAAAGUUCAGAACUUUGUUUACAACCAACACAAAGAGAUGUUACAAAACAAUAAGUACCUUCAAGCUUAUCAAGUGAAGCUCUAACAUAAGAGAGCAAAUCAGCAUGUGGAGAAGAAGAAGCUCGAGACACUCGUUUCACCGACGCAAAUCUGAACACUGAUUAUCAAAAUGAACACAGAAUCGAAAAGACGAUACAUUUAUCGAAAGCAGAUCAAAUCGAAUUAAACCCACCCGCGAGUUCCGACCAAUGUGUUCGACACAAUGUUCCUGUCUCCACCGGAUGAAGGAGCUAAACAAGUAGCAACGGGUCGCCGAUACCCCCGGUGAAUAUUGCCUAGUGAACAAAGAAUCUUUAAGAAAAACGCACGCUUGAAUUAGUGAAAACCCAGACAGCUCUGAAGAUCAAAGUUCCUAACCUGAGACGAUCCGAGAAGAAAGCCACGAAAUUUUCUUCAAAUUGAGGCUUCUGCUGCUAGACAUUCUUGGCUUCAAUCUUCUAUGGUCAACGAGUUUCAGGAAUCUGAAGAUUUUACAAGGGUUUAACCGCCAGCUUCGAGCCGGCGGAUCAAGUCUCAGUCUUUCAGCAGCAACAAUAGACGAUGACUUAUUCUAUUCUUUUCAAUGCAAAAGACUUCAACAUCGGGGUGGUGGCGCAGUUGGCUAGCGCGUAGGUCUCAUAGCUAUCUGAGUAAUCCUGAGGUCGAGAGUUCGAGCCUCUCUCACCCCAAUUAUUUUUUAUUUCUUUGUUUUAGUUGUUGACUCUCUACGCUUGGAAUAUUUUUCUCUGGACCGAGCUAAAAUUUUUUUUAGUAAAUUUUGUUAGUUUGGUUAAAAAUUUUGGUAUUUUUUGAAUAUAAUUUUUACCUUUUUUUUAAAAAAUAUAAUAACUGGUUAAUCAAAACUCUAACUUUUAAAAUGUUUACUGAAUCAAAUCGAACUAAUUCUAAAUUUUAAUAAAACUAAAUUUAAAUCAGACAUGAAUCAAAAUUUUCAGUAAUUUUUUUAAAAGCUAAACUAACCGAAUAUCAAACCAAGUUUUAUUUUAGAUUGAUUCGGUAAAAUUUAUGUUCAACCGAACUUGCUUAUCCAACUUUCAGAUUAAAUCUGAGCAUUUGGAUUUUCGAGUCGGAUUCGGUCGGGUUUGAGUUGGGUCUUGUCGGGUUUUUUGGAACCAGAUCCGAUAAGAUAUUUAAAAUUUAUCGGUUCAGAUUCUAUCGGGUCCGGUUUCGGUUUGGCUCCGGUCAUUUCGGGUCCGAGUAAAAUGCAAGGCCUACUUCAGACCUAAUUGACUCAAACAGAGUCGGGUCGGGUCGUCAUCCAAAUCCUUUUAACAGCAAACCCUAAUUGCCGCCGAUAUCUCCCUUAACCCUUCUCUUCUAAACCUUCUCAAGCUUCGCUCUCAGAGAUGGCGAAGUGUGGUAAAAGUAAGCUAAAAUCCCUCAAUUGAUUCUGGAAUUUUCUCUCUAGGUCUUUUUAUUGAGUUGUUUGAUGCUGUGAUCGUCCUUUUUGUAGAGAGCAAGAGUAAGAGGGUGACCUUGAAGCAGAAGAACAAGGUCCUUAGAAAGGUGAAGGAGCACCACAAGAAGAAGGCAAAGGAGGCUAAGAAGCUCGGCCUUAACCGCAAGCCGAGAGCAGAGAAGGACCCAGGUAUCCCCAAUGACUGGCCUUACAAGGAACAAGAGCUUAAGGCCUUAGAAGCUCGACGCGCCAGUGCUGUGGAGGUGAUUGAACAGAAGAAAGAGGCCCACAAAGAAAAGGUAUCAAACUUUGUUUUGAUUUAUUGUGAAAGCUUGAGUUUUUUUGGUUAAAGACAUGUUCUUUUUUUGUGUCUUGCUGUUUGGUUUUCUUGUAAUAAUUAAUUGUAAAGUGAUGUUUGUGUUCUGAUCUCUCUUACUAAGGCUAAAAAGAGGAAGCUUGAGGAUGAGGAGACCAAGAGUGGAGAUGACUCAACUAGACUUGUCAAUGUUCGAGGUGAAAUUUUAUUGUGCUUUUUGAUUUUAUAUUUAAGUGAUUUUAGUCUACCUUUGUAACAUAUGUUUAUUUGUUUCACAGAUAACUCGGAGAGGGCUUUCUACAAGGAGCUUGUGAAAGUCAUUGAACUAUCCGACGUCAUUCUCGAGGUUCUCGAUGCUCGUGAUCCCCUCGGCACGCGUUGUACCGACAUGGAGAGGAUGGUGAUGCAAGCUGGUCCCAAUAAGCACCUAGUGUUGCUUCUCAACAAGAUUGGUAAAGCUUUUUCUAUAGAAGCUCUCUGCUCUCGUGCUGUUGUUGUCAAUCAUUAGACUCAUAGUCUCUCUUUGUACUACAGAUCUUGUUCCUCGAGAGGCUGCUGAGAAAUGGCUUAAGUACCUUAGGGAAGAGUUUCCAGCUGUUGCCUUCAAAUGUAGCACCCAGGAACAGAGAUCAAACUUGGGUUGGAAGUCUUCUAAGGCGUCGAAACCAAGUAAUCUUUUGCAGACGAGUGAUUGUCUUGGAGCAGACACUCUUAUCAAAUUGCUGAAAAACUACUCGAGAAGUCAUGAGGUUGCUUUCUCAUAAUUUGCUUUCAAUGAGUUGCAUCAUCCAGUUUUGGAUUAAUCUUUCUCUGUUGUUUCGUGUUUCGGCAGUUGAAAAAAUCUAUUACAGUUGGUAUUAUUGGACUACCCAACGUAGGGAAGAGUAGUCUUAUCAACAGUUUGAAGAGAGCUCACGUUGUCAACGUCGGCGCCACUCCUGGACUAACCAGGUCUCUCCAAGAGGUUCACUUGGACAAAAACGUGAAGCUGCUGGAUUGUCCUGGAGUUGUGAUGCUCAAAUCUUCAGCGAAUGAUGCUUCUAUAGCUCUCCGCAAUUGUAAAAGAAUCGAGAAGUUGGAAGAUCCAGUUAGUCCAGGUAAAUUGGAAACUAUGCUAAUUAAUGAUUGAAUAUAUUCAAAUUAAUCUCAGUGAUCUAACUGUGAAACCUUGUUGGGGAAUCUAGUGAAGGAGAUACUCAAGCUUUGUUCACCACAACUGCUGGUGACUCUGUACAAGAUCCAGAGCUUCGAGGCGGUUGAUGACUUUCUUUAUAAAGUGGCUACUGUAAGGGGGAAGCUUAAGAAGGGUGGUCUUGUGGAUAUCGAAGCUGCUGCGAGGAUUGUGUUGCAUGACUGGAAUGAAGGUGAGGUCAUUAUUGUCUUUUAGUUCAGUCAUAAUUCUUAAAGAGUUAAAGAAACAAAGAGAUUAAAAAACAAUCUUAACAAGAAUAUAUUGAGUGAUCACAACUUCUUGUAGGAGUCAUAAUACCUCAGAAUCUACAAUGUAAAGGCAAUCAUCUUCUUCGUCAUACAGGGUCGCUGCAGGACGUAGCAUCUUUGCUGAUUCGAAUUCUCCAUCCUCAAAACCUGGGAAACAACCAAUCUGAAAUAGAAACAUGUCUUGAAGUUUAGCUCCACAUGAACCUUUUUUCUCUAAAAGUAACUUAAGACUUUCCCAAAUGUGAUCUAGUUCGCUUACGCUGUCUAAAAUCUCCCCAGUACUAGUGGAUAUGAUAAUACGAUGAUGGUUGCUAUCAGAAAGAAACAGACAAUCUCCAGCUUCGUCUGCAGAGAUGCAACCUGUUAUGGAGAAUGUCAAACACUAAGAGUACUUAGAGAGUAGCAUGAAAGAUAAGAAGAGAAGGUUGAAGAACUAUACCUGGAAAGUAAAGAAACAAAUCUUGCAGGAAAGAAGAGAAGUGUGGUUCCUUGAUAGCAUCAGCCUGUUUUGACCAAGUGUUGGUGAAAAGUUUGACGGACUUUGAUUUCUCAGUAUCUUGACUGAGGCUGUCAAGAGCUGCAUCAAAAGCACAAGAAGAAGAAACCAGAAUACGCAAUCAAGCACACAAAACAACAGAACCAUUAGAUGCUUUCGCCUUCUUGAAGGUAUGAAGCAAAGACUAUUCAAUAGCUUAUGAAGCAUUGCUAGAGAACAUUUGUUAGUGAUGUAGGCAUACCUUUAGCUACAGAAGCAAUAUCCAGAUCCUUGUCUUGGUAGAUUAAAGGGUUCUUAAAAUCUCUAAACACGAAGUAGCGUACUUCUUCUCCACUUGACUAAAACAAUUAGCAAAAACAUUCAAUUCAAAUCGACAAAUAAGCUUAUAACUUGGGAGAAUAAUAUACAACAAAUGAAUCGUUCUUGGAGAUACGAUAUGUUACCUUAGGAAACUCUUUCUCAGAAAGCAGUACAGGAAAAGUAAGAUAUUCCUUAACAAUCAACUCAGCUAAAGCAGCUCGAUCAUCGGUGAUUCUAGCUUGAUCACUGAAGUGAAUGCCCAUGAAACAGACUCCAGGAGACCUUUACAAGAAUCACAGAGAACUCAGCCAAAAAUCCCUGUUUAGUUGCCAUGAUUGUGAACAAAGGAACAUGCUUAAACCUCUGCUGAAGCAACUUGAGUUUCUCAAAGAAACAACUCGGAUCUCCAUUAAGCAAAUCGCCAACAAGAACUACGUAAGUCCCUUUCUCCUUGAAAAGCUGUUUAUUCUCAGUGUCACGAUUCAACCAAUGAUGGGAAGGACCUAAAGAGUUCAAAGUUCAGAACUUUGUUUACAACCAACACAAAGAGAUGUUACAAAACAAUAAGUACCUUCAAGCUUAUCAAGUGAAGCUCUAACAUAAGAGAGCAAAUCAGCAUGUGGAGAAGAAGAAGCUCGAGACACUCGUUUCACCGACGCAAAUCUGAACACUGAUUAUCAAAAUGAACACAGAAUCGAAAAGACGAUACAUUUAUCGAAAGCAGAUCAAAUCGAAUUAAACCCACCCGCGAGUUCCGACCAAUGUGUUCGACACAAUGUUCCUGUCUCCACCGGAUGAAGGAGCUAAACAAGUAGCAACGGGUCGCCGAUACCCCCGGUGAAUAUUGCCUAGUGAACAAAGAAUCUUUAAGAAAAACGCACGCUUGAAUUAGUGAAAACCCAGACAGCUCUGAAGAUCAAAGUUCCUAACCUGAGACGAUCCGAGAAGAAAGCCACGAAAUUUUCUUCAAAUUGAGGCUUCUGCUGCUAGACAUUCUUGGCUUCAAUCUUCUAUGGUCAACGAGUUUCAGGAAUCUGAAGAUUUUACAAGGGUUUAACCGCCAGCUUCGAGCCGGCGGAUCAAGUCUCAGUCUUUCAGCAGCAACAAUAGACGAUGACUUAUUCUAUUCUUUUCAAUGCAAAAGACUUCAACAUCGGGGUGGUGGCGCAGUUGGCUAGCGCGUAGGUCUCAUAGCUAUCUGAGUAAUCCUGAGGUCGAGAGUUCGAGCCUCUCUCACCCCAAUUAUUUUUUAUUUCUUUGUUUUAGUUGUUGACUCUCUACGCUUGGAAUAUUUUUCUCUGGACCGAGCUAAAAUUUUUUUUAGUAAAUUUUGUUAGUUUGGUUAAAAAUUUUGGUAUUUUUUGAAUAUAAUUUUUACCUUUUUUUUAAAAAAUAUAAUAACUGGUUAAUCAAAACUCUAACUUUUAAAAUGUUUACUGAAUCAAAUCGAACUAAUUCUAAAUUUUAAUAAAACUAAAUUUAAAUCAGACAUGAAUCAAAAUUUUCAGUAAUUUUUUUAAAAGCUAAACUAACCGAAUAUCAAACCAAGUUUUAUUUUAGAUUGAUUCGGUAAAAUUUAUGUUCAACCGAACUUGCUUAUCCAACUUUCAGAUUAAAUCUGAGCAUUUGGAUUUUCGAGUCGGAUUCGGUCGGGUUUGAGUUGGGUCUUGUCGGGUUUUUUGGAACCAGAUCCGAUAAGAUAUUUAAAAUUUAUCGGUUCAGAUUCUAUCGGGUCCGGUUUCGGUUUGGCUCCGGUCAUUUCGGGUCCGAGUAAAAUGCAAGGCCUACUUCAGACCUAAUUGACUCAAACAGAGUCGGGUCGGGUCGUCAUCCAAAUCCUUUUAACAGCAAACCCUAAUUGCCGCCGAUAUCUCCCUUAACCCUUCUCUUCUAAACCUUCUCAAGCUUCGCUCUCAGAGAUGGCGAAGUGUGGUAAAAGUAAGCUAAAAUCCCUCAAUUGAUUCUGGAAUUUUCUCUCUAGGUCUUUUUAUUGAGUUGUUUGAUGCUGUGAUCGUCCUUUUUGUAGAGAGCAAGAGUAAGAGGGUGACCUUGAAGCAGAAGAACAAGGUCCUUAGAAAGGUGAAGGAGCACCACAAGAAGAAGGCAAAGGAGGCUAAGAAGCUCGGCCUUAACCGCAAGCCGAGAGCAGAGAAGGACCCAGGUAUCCCCAAUGACUGGCCUUACAAGGAACAAGAGCUUAAGGCCUUAGAAGCUCGACGCGCCAGUGCUGUGGAGGUGAUUGAACAGAAGAAAGAGGCCCACAAAGAAAAGGUAUCAAACUUUGUUUUGAUUUAUUGUGAAAGCUUGAGUUUUUUUGGUUAAAGACAUGUUCUUUUUUUGUGUCUUGCUGUUUGGUUUUCUUGUAAUAAUUAAUUGUAAAGUGAUGUUUGUGUUCUGAUCUCUCUUACUAAGGCUAAAAAGAGGAAGCUUGAGGAUGAGGAGACCAAGAGUGGAGAUGACUCAACUAGACUUGUCAAUGUUCGAGGUGAAAUUUUAUUGUGCUUUUUGAUUUUAUAUUUAAGUGAUUUUAGUCUACCUUUGUAACAUAUGUUUAUUUGUUUCACAGAUAACUCGGAGAGGGCUUUCUACAAGGAGCUUGUGAAAGUCAUUGAACUAUCCGACGUCAUUCUCGAGGUUCUCGAUGCUCGUGAUCCCCUCGGCACGCGUUGUACCGACAUGGAGAGGAUGGUGAUGCAAGCUGGUCCCAAUAAGCACCUAGUGUUGCUUCUCAACAAGAUUGGUAAAGCUUUUUCUAUAGAAGCUCUCUGCUCUCGUGCUGUUGUUGUCAAUCAUUAGACUCAUAGUCUCUCUUUGUACUACAGAUCUUGUUCCUCGAGAGGCUGCUGAGAAAUGGCUUAAGUACCUUAGGGAAGAGUUUCCAGCUGUUGCCUUCAAAUGUAGCACCCAGGAACAGAGAUCAAACUUGGGUUGGAAGUCUUCUAAGGCGUCGAAACCAAGUAAUCUUUUGCAGACGAGUGAUUGUCUUGGAGCAGACACUCUUAUCAAAUUGCUGAAAAACUACUCGAGAAGUCAUGAGGUUGCUUUCUCAUAAUUUGCUUUCAAUGAGUUGCAUCAUCCAGUUUUGGAUUAAUCUUUCUCUGUUGUUUCGUGUUUCGGCAGUUGAAAAAAUCUAUUACAGUUGGUAUUAUUGGACUACCCAACGUAGGGAAGAGUAGUCUUAUCAACAGUUUGAAGAGAGCUCACGUUGUCAACGUCGGCGCCACUCCUGGACUAACCAGGUCUCUCCAAGAGGUUCACUUGGACAAAAACGUGAAGCUGCUGGAUUGUCCUGGAGUUGUGAUGCUCAAAUCUUCAGCGAAUGAUGCUUCUAUAGCUCUCCGCAAUUGUAAAAGAAUCGAGAAGUUGGAAGAUCCAGUUAGUCCAGGUAAAUUGGAAACUAUGCUAAUUAAUGAUUGAAUAUAUUCAAAUUAAUCUCAGUGAUCUAACUGUGAAACCUUGUUGGGGAAUCUAGUGAAGGAGAUACUCAAGCUUUGUUCACCACAACUGCUGGUGACUCUGUACAAGAUCCAGAGCUUCGAGGCGGUUGAUGACUUUCUUUAUAAAGUGGCUACUGUAAGGGGGAAGCUUAAGAAGGGUGGUCUUGUGGAUAUCGAAGCUGCUGCGAGGAUUGUGUUGCAUGACUGGAAUGAAGGUGAGGUCAUUAUUGUCUUUUAGUUCAGUCAUAAAACAUGGAAUCUUGAAAACUUAUUAAUUGUGUGCAGGUAAGAUUCCGUUCUAUACAAUGCCGCCAAAGAGGGACCAAGGUGAACACGCAGAGUCAAAGAUUGUGACGGAGUUGGCUAAGGAGUUCAACAUUGAUGAGGUUUACAGUGGUGAGUCCUCUUUCAUUGGGAGUUUGAAGACUGUUAGCGACUUCAACCCUGUUGAGAUUCCUUCCAGUGGUCCUCUCAGUUUCGAUGAAACUAUGAUCGAGGUUGGUUUGGUUGGUUAAUAGAUUAUCUCGUGAUUCCAUUUACUUGGUAUGGUUUAACAUUUGUUACUUAUCACAGGAUGGGUCUAAGACUCAGACCAAAGAAGAAGAGGCUGGUCUUGACAAUGAUGGUGAUGAGUCUAUGGGAGGGGAAGAGGAGGAAGAAGAAAUAGGAAAGUUGAAGUCCGAGGCGAGCAGGCAGAACAGGAAGCUAUACGCAGCUGAGAGCAUGCUUAACACAAAGAGGCAGAAAGCAGAGAAGAAGCAGAGGAAGAAGGCGAAGAAAGCAGCAGGUGGUGAGGAUCUUAUGGACGGAGAUUAUGAUUUCAAAGAAGAUUAUGGGAAGAAGAACAAAGAUACAGCCAUGGAUGAAGGAGAUGGUUUCCAAAUUGAUGCUAAAAUACCAAUGGCGGCACUUCUUGAUUUGCCUGAAGAAUGAGGGAGAGAUUAAACAAACAAUCGUUUUGUUCUUUGUGUUUAUUUAUGUGCUACUACUCAUACAUGUGUUUUGCUUCAUCAAGCGAUUUUGAUUCUACUGUACCGGUUUUUUUUUGAUCCAUCAGUUAUGUUAGUUUAUCAAAUCUAUUACAAUAAAGUUGACAACUUUCACUUUCUAUGAAGCCACCUCAAAGAAGAAGGUUCCUCCUUUGGAAACAGAAGAUACGUGUCCUCCAUUCUAUUGUAAAUUGAAGUUUGACAAAUUAUGUUCGAUCAUGACUUCAUAUGGAGGCAUGUUUCUUUUAAUUGAAUAUGUGACAUAAUUUUCAGUCCAAUAAGAUAUUACCGCUUCGUGCUCUGUCUUCGUCCCUUCUUAAUUGCGAACCUGAGAAAUAAAAAUAUCCACCUAAACCGUGAAUGUGUAAAGUUAUAGAAUUUAAUGUUGAAUUAAAUUGUCUGAGUAACUUCUUCCUCCAAUCAAAGCUACUCAUAACUUCAUCUCCUCUGUGACAUUUAAACGCUUCACCUCCAACCAAGCUCAGCAUAUAUACUCCCAUAAUCAUAAGCCUCCUCUACUUCCCAAUCAUGGGCGGAUGCAGAGAAUUUAUUUGUUGGGGGCAUAUGUAAAUUGGUCAAUGGAUUAGGACUAUAUUUGCUAAAAACAAUGGGGGCAUAUUAAAUUUAUUCAAUGAUUAACAUGAAAUUUUAAAAAGUUGUUGGGGGCAAAUGCCCCCCUCUCACACACCCCUCUCACACAACGUGGGUGAAUCAGCAGUUCUCCUCGCCUACUCUAUAGUUCUAGUCUGCAUUUCUCGGCCUGGUAUCCUACACCUCGCGUUAAUGAUAUCUAGGCGGAAGCCCCACGUACGGUUUUGAAGCCGAGAAUUCUGGCCACCUUAAGGCCAAGAAAGUAUUUUAGAGAACGCCCCGUAACACUCCUUCCGAUUCGAGAACACCUAAGCCUGUAAUUGACGGCUGGAAGGAGCUAUCCUACUCUGGCUACGCCACUGUUCCCAAUCAUCUCACUAUUAAGUAAUAACCAACUACAUACAUUGUUUACAGAGUAUAAAAUAUAGCUUCCAAGCUCCACCGCUCCGGCGAACUCAAUCUCCACAACCUCGGCGAAAUUCAAAACCGCCUCCAUGGAUACUAUUCCCGAAAACUCGACCAGAAAAAUCCCAACAAGUCCACCACCAAAGCUCCGGCGAAGUCCAACACCGGUUCCUUGGAUAAGAAAAAAGGAUUUACAGCUCCAGUGCUCUGCCAAAUAGCCGCAGCAUCUGCCAUCGUAUACAUAUUCUACCGUCUUCGCCAGUGGACUCCAACGUCUCUUCCCUCAAAGUUUGGUCACUUCGCCGGUAUAUUAGAUAUAAGAUGGUCACAAAGGCGUUCAGGUAUGCUGCAAUUUGUAAAUCGUUUAAUUGAUAUGAGCAAUAUAGAGUUUAAAUGCCAACUUUUCGAAACGAAGCGGAAUGUGCUACUUUGGCGUUUUCUGGUGGUCUUUCACGACAAGUCCAUCAAGAAAAUGACCAAACAAGGGCCAAAUGAUUGACCUGAAACCACUUGAUGUUCUCGAUAGUCUCUCUAAUACUGUUUAUCUUGACUGUUUAUUUGUUUCAAUAGUCUGAAAUCUUUUAAUGGUUUUUGCAGCUGGAUGCUCAUUUUGUGGAAUGUAGGCAGCACAUAGAUUAUGGUGAUGAAAUGUAUUAUAUACUCAAACAACAUCAAAGAAGCCAAGUAUAACAAAGGCAGUCAAGUAGUCAUCAUUGCCUUACCCGCUUAUUCCCUUCUUAACGAGCUUCUAUGCUAUAUCAAAUCCAGUUCCACCGGUUUGUUACAUAUUGAAAUACUGAAAUUCUUUCUAAUCAAAAUUUAUGUAACAUAAAAUCGCUAUUCUCUAGAUAAACGAAGAAAACAAAAGUUCCAAACCUCUUUGACGAUCAUCAUAUAUUAGUAUAGGAGGCAACUAUGCCUUAAAACAAUAUUGUUAUAUUUUUUUAAUUUUUCUCAAAAUCUAUGUGUUAACACUCUAUAUACUGAAACCUAAACUUUUUAUUGUUGCUUUAAAAUUUCUAACCAUAUUUUACAUUUGUAUUAAUGUAUUUUAAACUUUCUUUCAUGGUAUAAGAGAAUAAUUAUAAUUUUUUAUUAAUUAAUUUAGUAAAACUUCAUAAUACUCUCAAAAUCGGUGGAAUAACCACUAUAAAAUGGCUAUUUUCUUGAAAAACGGAGACAAUAAAAGCUCCAAACCUCUUUCAACAUCAUCAUAUGAUAGUGCAUGAUGCAACUAUGCAUUAAAAUAAUAUUGUCACAUUUUUUAAAAUUUUCUCAAAAUCUAUGUGUUACAAAAUAAUGAAUUUUGGUAAAUACUUUAUAUACUGAACCCUAUAAUCUUUAGUGUUUCUAACCACAUUCUACAUUUGUAUCAAUGUAUGCUAAACUCUCUUUCAUAAUACAUGAGUAUCAUUUAUUUUUUUAUAAAUUAAUUUAGUAAAAUUUCAUAGACUCCCUAACUUAGUGGACUAACCAUUAUAAAAUCGCUAUUCUCUAGAGAAAUGAAGACAACAAAGGUUUCAAACCUUUUAGACCAUCACUGUAUAUUAGUACAUGAGGCAACUAUGCAUUAAAGCAAUAUUGUUAUAUUUUUUGAAUUUUUCUCAAAAUCUAUUUGUUAACCCCUACGAAAAUAUUGAGUUUUACGUUAAACGCUAUAUAUACUAAGCUUAAAGUUUUUAGUAUUGUUUUAAAAUUUCUAAAAAAAAUUCUAAAUUUGUAUUAACGUAUGUUAAACUCUCUUUCAUGGUAAAUGAGAAUCGUUAUAAUUUUUUAUCAAUUAAUUUAGUAAAACUUCAUAAUACUCCUUAAAUCGGUGGAAUAACCACUAUAAAAUCAUUAUUUUCUUGAAAAAUGGAGACAACAAAGGCUCCAAACCUAUUUCUAUAUCAUCGUAUGUUAGUGCAGGAUGAAACUAUGCAUUGAAACAAUAUUGUCAUAUUUUUUAAAAUUUUCUCAAAAUCUAUGUCCCCUACAAAAAUAUUGAGUUUUGGUAAAUGUUUAAUAUACUAAACCAUAUAAUCUUUAGUACUAUUUCAAAAUUUCUAACCACAUUCUAUAUUUAUAUUAAUGUAUGCUAAACUCUCUUUCAUUGUACAUGAGCAUCGUUAAAUUUUUUUAUAAACUAAUUUAGUAAAAUUUCAUAUACUCCCUAAAUUAGUGGACUAACCAUUAUAAAAUCGCUAUUCUCUAGAGAAAUGAAGACAACAAUGGUUCCAAACCUCUUUGACCAUCACCAUAUAUUAGUACAGGAGACAAGUAUCCAUUAAACCAAUAUUGUUAUAUUUUUUUAUUUUUUCUCAAAAUCUAUGUGUUAACCCGACGAAAUUAUUGAGUUUUACGUGGAACGCUCUAUAUACUGAAGCCUAAACAUUUUAGUGUUGUUUUAAAAUUUCUAACCACACUCUACAUUUGUAUUAAUGUAUCUUAAACUCUAUUUCAUGGUAUAUAGGAAUCAUUUUAUUUUUUUUAUCAAUUAAUUUAGUAAAACUUCAUUAUACUCCCUAAAUCGGUGGAAUAAUCACUAUAAAGUCGUUAUUUUCUUGAAAAACAGAGACAACAAAAGCUCCAAACCUAUUUCAACAUCAUCAUAUGUUAGUGCAUGAUGCAACUAUGCAUUAAAACAAUAGUCAUAUUUUUUGAAAUUUCUCAAAAUCUAUGUGUUAACCCCUACAAAAAUAUUGAAUUUUGGUAAAUGCUUUAUAUACUAAACCAUAUAAUAUUUAGUAUUGUUUUAAAUUUUCUAACCACAUUCUAAAUUUGUAUUACUGUAUGCUAAACUCUCUUUCAUGGUACAUUCGCCUCGUUGAAUUUUUUUAUAAAUUAAUUUAGUAAAAUUUCAUAAACUCUCUAAAUUAGUGGACUAACCAUAAUAAAAUCGUUAUUCUCUAGAGAAAUGAAGACAACAAAGGUUUCAAACCUCUUUGACCAUCACCAUAUAUUAGUACAUGAGGCAACUAUGCAUUAAAGCAACAUUGUUAUACUUUUUGAAUUUUUCUCAAAAUCUAUGUGUUAACCCCCUACAAAAAUGUUGAGUUUUAUGUUAAACGCUCUAUAUACAGAAGCCUAAACAUUUUUCGUGUUUUUUUAAACCACAUUCUACAUUUGUAUUAAUGUAUUUUAAACUCUCUUUCAUGGUAUAUGAAAAUCGUUAUAAUUUUUUAUCAAUUAAUUUAAUAAAACUUCAUAAUACUCCAUAAAUCGGUGGAGCAACCACUACAAAAUCGCUAUUUAAACAAAAAUGGAGACAACAAAGGCUCUAAAUCUCUUUCAACAUCAUCAUAUAUUACUGUAGGAUGCAACUAUGCAUUAAAACAAUAUUGUCAUAUUUUUUAAAUUUUUCUCAAAAUCUAUGUGUUGUUUUACAUUAAACGCUCUAUAUACUGAAACCUAAACUUUUUAGUGUUGUUUUAAAAUUUUUAACCAUAUUCUACAUUUGUAUUAAUGUAUUUUAAACUCUGUUUCAUGGUAUAUGAGAAUUAUUAUAAUUUUUUAUUAAUUAAUUUAGUAAAACUUCAUUAUACUCCCUAAAUCGGUGGAAUAAUCACUAUAAAGUCGUUAUUUUCUUGAAAAACAGAGACAACAAAAGCUCCAAACCUAUUUCAACAUCAUCAUAUGUUAGUGCAUGAUGCAACUAUGUAAAAACAAAGACAACAAAGGCUUCAAACCUCUUUCAGCAUCAUCAUAUGUUAGUGCAUGAUGCAACUAUGCAUUAAAACAAUAUUUUCAUACUUUUUGAAAUUUUAUCAAAAUCAAUGUGUUAACACCCUUACAAAAAUAUUGAAUUUUGGUAAAUUCUUUAUAUACUGAAGCCUAUAAAUUUUAGUGAUGUUUUAAAAUUUCUAACUAGAUUCUACAUUUGUAUUAAGGUAUACUAAACUCUCUUUCAUGGUAAAUGAGCAUCGUUCAUUUUUUUUAAUAAAAUAAUAUACUAAAAUCUCAUAUACUCCCUAAAUUAGUGGACUAACCAAUAUACAAUCACUAUUCUCUAAAGAAAUGGAGACAACAAAUGAUCCAAACCUCUUUGACCAUCAUCAUAUAUUAGUACAUGAGGCAACUAUAAAUUAAAGCAAUAUUGUUAUAUUUUUUGAAAUUUUUUCAAAAUCUAUGUGUCUACGAAAAUAUUCAGUUUUACGUUAAAUGCUCUAUAUACUGAAACUUAUGUUGAGUUUUAUGUUAAACGCUCUAUAUACAGAAGCCUAAACAUUUUUCGUGUUUUUUUAAACCACAUUCUACAUUUGUAUUAAUGUAUUUUAAACUCUCUUUCAUGGUAUAUGAAAAUCGUUAUAAUUUUUUAUCAAUUAAUUUAAUAAAACUUUUUUAUGGUACACGAGAAUCGUUCAUAUUUUUAUCAUUUAAUUAGUAAAACUUCAUAAUACUAUCUAAAUCAGUGGAAUAACCACUACAAAAUCAAUAUUUACUUGAAAACCGGAGACAACAAAGGCUGUAGCCUCUUUCAACAUCAUAAUAUAUUAGUGUAGGAUGCAACUAUGCAUUAAAACAAUAUUGUCAUAUUUUUUGAAAUUUUCUCAAAAUCUAUGUGUUAACCCUUACAAAAAUAUUGAAUUUUGGUAAAUGAUUUAUAUACUGAACCAUAUAAUCUUUAGUGUUGUUUUAAAAUUUCAAACUACACUCUACAUUUGUAUUAAUGUAUUCUAAACUCUCUUUCAUGGUACACGAGCAUCGUUCAAUUUUUUAUAAAUUAAUUUAGUAAAAUUUCAUAUACUCCCUAAAUUAGGAAAUUAACCAUUAUAAAAUCACUAUUCUCUAGAGAAAUGAAGACAACAAAGGUUUCAAACCUCUUUGACCAUCACCAUAUAUUAGUACAUGAGGAAACUAUGCAUUAAAGCAAUAUUGUUAUAUUUUUUGAAUUAUUCCCAAAAUCUAUGUGUUGAGUUUUACGUUAAACGCUCAAUAUACUGAAGCACAAAGUUUUUAGUGUUGUUUUAAAUUUCUAACCACAUUCUACAUUUUUAUUAAUGUAUCUUAAAAUCUAUUUCAUAGUAUAUGGGAAUCGUUAUUAUUUUUUUAUCAAUUAAUUUAGUAAAACUUCGUAAUACUUCCUAAAUCGGUGGAAUAAUCACUAUAAAGUCAUUAUUUUCUUGAAAAAUGGAGACAACAAAGGCUCCAAACCUAUUUCAACAUCAUCAUAUGUUAGUGCAUAAUGCAACUAUGCAUUAAAACAAUAGUCAUAUUUUUUGAAAUUUUUCAAAAUCUAUGUGUUAACCUCUACAAAAAUAUUGAAUUUUUGUAAAUGCUUUAUAUACUGAACCAUAUAAUCUUUAGUAUUGUUUUAAAAUUAAUAAUCACAUUCUAAAUUUGUAUUACUGUAUGAUAAACUCUCUUUCAUGGUACAUGAGCAUCGUUAAUUUUUUUAUCAAUUAAUUUAGUAAAAUUUCAUAAACUCCCUAAAUUAGUGGACUAACCAUAAUAAAAUCGCUAUUCUCUAGAGAAAUGAAGACAACAAAGGUUUCAAACAUCUUUGACCAUCACCAUAUAUUAGUACAAGAGACAACUAUGCAUUAAAGCAACAUUGUUAUACUUUUUGAAUUUUUCUCAAAAUCUAUGUGUUAACCCCCUACAAAAAUGUUGAGUUUUACGUUAAACGCUCUAUAUACAGAAGCCUAAACAUUUUUCGUGUUUUUUUAAACCACAUUCUACAUUUGUAUUAAUGUAUUUUAAACUCUCUUUCAUGGUAUAUGAGAAUCGUUAUAAUAUUUUAUCAAUUAAUUUAAUAAAACUUCAUAAUACUCCAUAAAUCGGUGGAGCAACCACUACAAAAUCGCUAUUUAAAAAACAAAACGGAGACAACAAAGACUCUAAACCUCUUUCAACAUCAUCAUAUAUUAGUGUAGGAUGCAACUAUGCAUUAAAACAAUAUUGUCAUAUUUUUUGAAUUUUUCUCAAAAUCUAUAUGUUCUUUUACAUUAAACGCUCUAUAUACUGAAACCUAAACUUUUUAGUGUUGUUUUAAAAUUUUUAACCAUAUUCUACAUUUGUAUUAAUGUAUUUUAAACUCUCUUUCAUGGUAUAUGAGAAUCAUUAUAAUUUUUUAUUAAUUAAUUUAGUAAAACUUAGUAAUACUCCCAAAAUCGAUGGAAUAACCACUAUAAAAUGACUAUUUUUAAAAGAAACGGAGACAACAAAGGCUCCAAACCUCUUUCAACAUCAUCAUAUGUUAGUGCAUGAUGCAACUAUGCAUUAAAACAAUAUUGUCAUACUUUUUGAAAUUUUAUCAAAAUCUAUGUGUUAACACCCUUACAAAAAUAUUGAAUUUUGGUAAAUGCUUUAUAUAUUGCCUAUAAAUUUUAGUGAUGUUUUAAAAUUUCUAACUAGAUUCUACAUUUGUAUUAAUGUAUGAUAAACUCUCUUUCAUGGUAAAUGAGCAUCGUUCAUUUUUUAAAAUAAAAUAAUAUAUUAAAAUUUCAUAUACUCCCUAAAUUAGUGGACUAACCAAUAUAAAAUCGCUGUUCUCUAAAGAAAUGGAGACAACAAAGGAUCCAAACCUCUUUGGCCAUCAUCAUAUAUUAGUACAUGAGGCAACUAUACAUUAAAGCAAUAUUGUUAUAUUUGUUGAAUUUUUUUUCAAAAUCUAUGUGUCUACGAAAAUAUUCAAUUUUACGUUAAAUGCUCUAUAUACUGAAACUUAUACUUUUUAUUGUUGUUCUAAAUUUUCUAACGACAUUCUAAAUUUGUAUUAAUGUAUGUUAAACUUUUUUUAUGGUAUACGGGAAUCGUUCAAAUGUUAUCAAUUAAUUAGUAAAACUUCAUAAUACUAUCUAAAUCAGUGGAAUAACCACUACAAAAUCAAUAUUUUCUUGAAAAACGGAGAAAGUAAAGGCUGUAAACCUCUUUCAACAUCAUAAUAUAUUAGUGUAGGAUGCAACUAUGCAUUAAAACAAUAUUGUCAUACUUUUUGAAAUUUUCUCAAAAUCUAUGUGUUAACCCCUACAAAAAUGUUGAAUUUUGGUAAAUGAUUUAUAUGCUGAACCCUAUAAUCUUUAGUGUUGUUUUAAAAUUUCUAACUACAUUCUACAUUUGUAUUAAUGUAUGCUAAACUAUCUUUCAUGGUACACGAGCUUCGUUCAAUUUUUUACAAAUUAAUUUAGUAAAAUUUCAUAUACUCCCUAAAUUAGGGGAUUAACUAUUAUAAAAUCAUUAUUCUCUAGAGAAAUGAAGACAACAAAGGUUUCAAACCUCUUUGACCUUCACCAUAUAUUAGUACAGGAGGCAACUAUGCAUUAAAGCUAUAUUGUUAUAUUUUUUGAAUUAUUCCCAAAAUCUAUGUGUUGAGUUUUACGUUAAACGCUCAAUAUACUGAAACACAAAUUUUUAGUGUUGUUUUAAAUUUCUAACCACAUUCUACAUUUUGAUUAAUGUAUCUUAAACUCUAUUUCAUGGUAUAUGGAAAUUGUUAUUAUUUUUUUUAUCAAUUAAUUUAGUAAAACUUCAUAAUACUCCCUAAAUCGGUGGAAUAAUCACUAUAAAGUCGUUAUUUUCUUGAAAAACGGAGACAACAAAUGCUCUAAACCUAUUUCAACAUUAUCAUAUGUUAGUGCAUGAUGCAACUAUGCAUUAAAACAAUAGUCAUAUUUUUUGAAAUUUCUCAAAAUCUAUGUGUUAAACUCUACAAAAAUAUUGAAUUUUGGUAAAUGCUUUAUAUACUGAACCAUAUAAUAUUUAGUAUUGUUUUAAAAUUUCUAACCACAUUUUAAUUUUGUAUUACUUUAUGCUAAACUCUCUUUCAUGAUACAUGAGGAUCGUUAUAUUUUUUUAUAAAUUAAUUUAGUAAAAUUUCAUAAACUCCCUAAAUUAGUGGAUUAACCAUAAUAAAAUCGCUAUUCUCUAGAGAAAUAAAGACAACAAAGGUUUCAAACCUCUUUGACCAUCACCAUAUAUUAGUACAUGAGGCAACUAUGCAUUAAAGCAACAUUGUUAUACUUUUUGAAUUUUUCUCAAAAUCUAUGUGUUAACCCCCUACAAAAAAGUUGCGUUUUACGUUGAACGCUCUAUAUACAGAAACCUAAACAUUUUUCAUGUUUUUUUAAACCACAUUCUACAUUUGUAUUAAUGUAUGUUAAACUCUCUUUCAUGGUAUAUGAGAAUCGUUAUAAUCUUUUAUCAAUUAAUUUAAUAAAACUUCAUAAUACUCCAUAAAUCGGUGGAGCAACCACUACAAAAUCGCUAUUUUAAAAAGAAAACGGAGACAACAAAGGCUCUAAACCUCUUUCAACAUCAUCAUAUAUUAGUGUAGGAUGCAAAUAUGCAUUAAAACAAUAUUGUCAUAUUUUUAAAAAAUUUCUCAAAAUCUAUGUGUUGUUUUACAUUAAACGCUCUAUAUACUGAAACCUAAAAUUUUUAGUGUUGUUUUAAAAUUUUUAACUAUAUUCUACAUUUGUAUUAAUGUAUUUUAAACCCUAUUUCAUGGUAUAUGAGAAUCAUUAUAAUUUUUUAUUAAUUAAUUUAGUAAAACUUAGUAAUACUCUCAAAAUCGGUGGAAUAACCACUAUAAAAUGGCUAUUUUCUUUAAAAACAGAGACAACAAAGGCUUCAAACCUCUUUCAACAUCAUCAUAUGUUAGUGCAGGAUGCAACUAUGCAUUAAAACAAUAUUGUCAUACUUUUUGAAAUUUUAUCAAAAUCUAUGUGUUAACACCCUUACAAAAAUAUUGAAUUUUGGUAAAUACUUUAUAUACUGAAGACUAUAAAUUUUAGUGAUGUUUUAAAAUUUCUAACUAGAGAAAUGAAGACAAAAAAUGUUUCAAAUGUCUUUGACCAUCAUAAUUUUUUAGUACGGGAGGCAACUAUGCAUUAAAGGAAUAUUGAUAUAUUUUUUGAGUUUUUCUCAAAAUCUAUGUGUUAUGUGUUAAUCACUACAAAAAUGUUGACUUUUGGUAAAUACUUUAUAUACUGAACCGUAUAAUCUUUAGUAUUGUUUUAAAAUUUAUAACUACAUUCUACAUUUGUAUUAAUGUAUGCUUAACUCUCUUUUAUGGUACAUGAGCAUCGUUCAAUUUUUUUAUAAAUUAAUUUAGUAAAAUUUCAUAUACUCCCUAAAUUAGCGGACUAACCAUUAUAAAAUCGCUAUUUUCUAGAGAAAUGAAGACAAGAAAGGUUCCAAACCUCUUUGUACAUCCCCAUAUAUUAGUACAUGAGGCAACUAUGCAUUAAAAAAAUAUUGUUAUAUUUUCGAAUUUUUCUCAAAAUCUAUUUGUUAACCCCUACGAAAAUAUUUAAAUUUACGUUAAACGCUCUAUAUAUUGAAGCCUAAAUUUUUUAGUGUUGUUUUAAAAAAUUUAACCACAUUCUACAUUUGUAUUAAUGUAUGUUAAACUCUCUUUCAUGGUAAAUGGAAAUCAUUAUAAUUUGUUAUCAAUUAAUUUAGUGAAACUUUAUAAUACUCCCUAAAUCGGUAGAAUAACGACUAUAAAAUCGAUAUUCUCUAAAGAAAUGGAGACAACAAAGGUCUCAGACCUUUUUAACCAUCAUCAUAUUAUUAAAGCAAUAUUAUUAUAUUUUUUGAAUUUUUUUCAAAAUCUAUGUGUACGAAAAUAUUAAGUUUUACGUUAAACGCUCUAUAUACCGAAACUUAUAUUUUUUAUUCUUGUUCUAAAUUUUCUAACGACAUUCUAAAUUUGUAUUAAUGUAUGUUAAACUCUCUUUUAUUAUAUAUAGGAAUCGUUCUAAUUUUUUAUCAAUUAAUUAGUAAAACUUCAUAAUACUAUCUAAAUCAGUGGAAUAACCACUACAAAAUCGUUAGUUUCUUGAAAAACGGAGAGAACAAAGGCUCUAAACCUCUUUUAACAUCAUCAUAUAUUAGUGUAGGAUGCAACUAUGCAUUAAAACAAUAUUGUCAUAUUUUUUGAAAUUUUCUCAAAAUUUAUGUGUUAACCUCUACAAAAAUAUUGAAUUUUGGUAAAUGCUUUAUAUACGGAACCCUAUAAUCUUUGGUGUUGUUUUAAAAUUUCUAACCACAUUCUACAUUCGUUUUAAUGUAUGCUAAACUCUCUUUCAUGGUACAUGAACAUCGUUCAAAUUUUUUUAAAAUUAAUUUAGUAAAAUUUCAUAUUCUCCCUAAAUUAAUGGAAUAGCCGUUAUAAAAUCGCUAUUUUCUAGAGAAAUGGAGACAACAAAGGUUCUAAACCUCUUUGACCAUCACCAUAUAUUAGUACAUGAGGCAACUAUGCAUUAAAGCAAUAUUGUUAUAUUUUUUGAAAUUUUCUCAAAAUCUAUGUGUUAACCCUUACGAAAAUAUUGAGUUUUAUGUUAAACGCUCUAUAUACUGAAACCUAAACUUUUUCGUGAAAUACUGCAAGUCCAACACCGGUUCCUUGGAUAAGAAAAAAGGAUUUGCAGCUCCAAAAAGCCGCAGCAUCCGCCAUCGUAUACAUAUUCUAGUGUCCUCGCCAGUGGACUCCAACGUCUCUUCCCUCAAAGUUUGGUCACUUCGCCGAUAUAUUAGAUAUAUGAUGGCCACAAAGGCGUUCAGGUAUGCGUUUGUAAAUCCUUUAAUUGAUAUGAGCAAUAGAGAGUUUAAAGGCCAACUUUUCGAAACGAAGCGGAAGGUGGUACUUCGGCUUAGUUUCUUGAAAAACGGAGAGAACAAAGGCUCUAAACCUCUUUUAACAUCAUCAUAUAUUAGUGUAGGAUGCAACUAUGCAUUAAAACAAUAUUGUCAUAUUUUUUGAAAUUUUCUCAAAAUUUAUGUGUUAACCUCUACAAAAAUAUUGAAUUUUGGUAAAUGCUUUAUAUACGGAACCCUAUAAUCUUUGGUGUUGUUUUAAAAUUUCUAACCACAUUCUACAUUCGUUUUAAUGUAUGCUAAACUCUCUUUCAUGGUACAUGAACAUCGUUCAAAUUUUUUUAAAAUUAAUUUAGUAAAAUUUCAUAUUCUCCCUAAAUUAAUGGAAUAGCCGUUAUAAAAUCGCUAUUUUCUAGAGAAAUGGAGACAACAAAGGUUCUAAACCUCUUUGACCAUCACCAUAUAUUAGUACAUGAGGCAACUAUGCAUUAAAGCAAUAUUGUUAUAUUUUUUGAAAUUUUCUCAAAAUCUAUGUGUUAACCCUUACGAAAAUAUUGAGUUUUAUGUUAAACGCUCUAUAUACUGAAACCUAAACUUUUUCGUGAAAUACUGCAAGUCCAACACCGGUUCCUUGGAUAAGAAAAAAGGAUUUGCAGCUCCAAAAAGCCGCAGCAUCCGCCAUCGUAUACAUAUUCUAGUGUCCUCGCCAGUGGACUCCAACGUCUCUUCCCUCAAAGUUUGGUCACUUCGCCGAUAUAUUAGAUAUAUGAUGGCCACAAAGGCGUUCAGGUAUGCGUUUGUAAAUCCUUUAAUUGAUAUGAGCAAUAGAGAGUUUAAAGGCCAACUUUUCGAAACGAAGCGGAAGGUGGUACUUCGGCGUUUUCUGGUGGUCUUUCAAGACAAGUCCAUCAAGAAAACGAUCAAACAAGGGCCCAAUGAUUGACCUAAAACCACUUGAUGUUCUCGAGAGUCUCUCUAAUACUGUUUAUCUUGACUGUUUAUUUGUUACUAUUGUCUGAAAUCUUUUAAUGGUUUUUGCAGCUGGAUGCUCAUUUUGUGGAAUGUAUGCAGCACGGAGAUUAUGGUAAUGAAAGGUAUUAUAUACUCAAAGAAGCCAAGUAUAACAAAGGCAGUCAAGUCGUCAUCAUUGCCUUACCCGCUUAUUCCCUUCUUAACGAGCUUCUACGCUAUAUCAAAUCCAGUUCACCGGUUUGUUGCUCUGUACCUUGCAAUAUGGUUACACGAACCGUAUCUUUAGAGAUUCUCUGAAUCAUAAAUGUUGUUCGUUUUCAUGAAGAUGACAGUGUAAGGGAGAUAACUACAAAUAAUCUUCCCAAAAAACCAUCUUUGAUUGGUUUUUGAAUCCGUUUCUUAUCAUUAAAUACCAGGCUGAAGCAGAAGAGUAUCUUGCAAAGUUGGUAUUGCUGUUUGGAGAUUAAGAGAGACUUAAAAGCUCUAAUUCCCUUCAUUUGAAAGGAACUAAGAAAAGCUGAGCUUCACAACUAAGCUCGCAGGUAAGCAUAUAAUAAAAACUUCACAUGUAAAUGAAUGUCGUUUCGCUUUAACAUGUGUUCGGUUUUGUUUCAAAGGCUUCAAGGAUGCCCAAAUCAAUAUCAAGAUAUCCAACAUUCAGAAGACAUUUUAACCACAUGGAACUUUGGAAAAACUUUAAGUUAUGUUUGGGUGCCGUAGGUUGUAUGUAUAUAUGAUAUGGGUUUUAUUCGAAAUAGAUAUUUUUGCAAGUUGGUAUCUAAUGUAUGAUGGCUUUGGUGGAAAUAGGAUUCUUGCAGGUUGCUUAUUAUUGUCAUGAUACAAUCCAUUUGGCUUUGGCCGAAGAAAUCCAACGUCUUAAAGAAUAAUUUAUAAAAUAAUGUAGACGGGUACGUUGUGGGAUAUUGAAGAUGUGCCUUAGAGAAUAUGUAACUGAUAUUUUUUGUCACUUUAGCGUUAAUACUAUUUUUAAAACCAUUAAUGUUAAUAUAUUCUGUAUUUAAUAAUGUAAAUGGAUAGUUUUUUUGUUUUAGUUAAAUCUAUACCACUCCGAUAGAAAACUAAUUAAUUUUGUUUAUAAUCUUCACUUAGAAAACAUACUUCCUCUGUUUCUUAAAAAAAUGUCAUUUAGAAUUUUAUUUUCGUGCCGUUUAGUAUUUUCAAUGCGGAAUUUUAAAUAAAUUUUCAUUUUUAACUUCAUUUUUAGUGAAUUAAUUAAAAGGCAAAAAUUUUAGUGUGUGAACAAAGAAUAAAAUAGAAUUUUAAGUGAUUUCUUAAUGCGUGAAUUUUUUUUCAGUGACACUUUUAUUAAAUACAAGAAGUAUAUUUAUUGUUUACAAAGUUUUAUCUAUGAUGAAAAAAAAAAUUACUAUUUAAAUGGACAGAUAUAUAGAAAUUUCAUAUAAAUGCUAAUCUGUAAGUACAAAAGCACUUACCAAUUUCUUAACAUUUUUCAAAUGUUUUUACGAAUCUUUGACUACAAAAAUAAACAAACAAUUAGUUACGUUAUCAUAAAUAAAGACACUGUCCUUAUAGCAAAUUAAAUUUAAACUUCUGCGUAUGGCCAUACAGUGUUACGAUUUACACAUAGCUCGACAACUUCACAUUCACUGACAAUGAUCUAAUAAAAACAGAUGACACCAUCACUGGGAAAAUCAGACACCCCCACCCUCGCCGUAUAUUCAUAAAUUGAUAUGAUUAACAAAUUUUAAAUUAACACAGAGGCCGAACAUGAACGAAAACCAACCAAAGUUUUUUUUUGCUGAAACCAACCAAAGUUUCCCCUCAUCAGCCUGUAAAUUAUUACAAAGUCAACAAAAACUUCAACAAAUCCACAAAUCCACUUGAAAUCUGACCUACAACAUCAUCAUCGCAGUUAGAUCACCUCAGAUAACAAAAAAAAAAUCUUGAAUGCCCCACCAAUUUUUCCUCAAACGAAUAAAUAAUUCCAAAACAAUAACCUAACAACAUUCAAAUCUCCUAGUAGAAGCUCACUUAAAACAUUCCUCAACCAGUAGAAAGGGAAGCAUGGAAACCAAUUAUCAGAAAGCAUCUAAAGAGUUCAGUUCUAAAAACUCAUUUCCUGCAACUGCGAUUUAAAAAAAAAAUUAUUUUAAGGGUUUCAACUUCAACACCAGCUCCUACCAUCCCAGUUCAUUACUAUAAUAAAAAGUUCAAAUCAUAACUGACUAGAAACACUUAUUAAACAUAUAAUCAACAAAUUCAUUCCAACAUCCUUAAUCAAUAGCCCAUCAUAUAAUCUCAGCUCAUCAACUUCCAACACCACAGUGGAAGAACUCAAUUAUUGGACCACAACAUGAAAACUCUAACCACCACACUAAGCACAUAUAUAAGCCAUUCGUAACUCUUUACAAAACAACCUAAGUUCAGAAGUGGCAAUCGAUAAUGGAAUAAACGCGCCAUCGUUGACCUUAAAAACCUAAUAAGUAUAUAUAAUUUUGACAUUAUCCUUAUCAAUGGCCAUGUUAGCCAUUGCCACACUAGCACCUCUCCGUACUUGUCUUUAAAACACUAGCUCCUCUCUUUCUUUCAAAUAUUGCUAAAAUAUAUUCUUCAAAGGUUUAAUUUCCAAUUUUAACAAAAUUUCAAACAUUAUCGUAAAUUUUGUAGAAAGAAUAUGAAGAAACAACACACAAACACGUACAAAAAACAAUUCACCAAAACAAACCUCCCCCGAGCCCUAUUGUUUACAAACAACAUUAGGCUACAAGUUCUCAACAUCCUUAUACUAUGCAGAAUAUUAAAAAUUGGCAAAUAUCAUAGCCAAAUAUUGUUUCACUAUUAGGAAAUAUCAGAGUUUUUGCUUAGUAUUUUCUACAAUUUCAUAGUAACAUUCCCCCUUCUUUCAUCAAUCCCCUCUCUAUGACCUUAAAGACAACCCUAAGCCAAAACAUUUACUAUGUUACACCCACUAUAUUUACGAUACACACAUUACAUAAAACUUUACACUAGCAUGCCAAACACAUAAAAUACAACCAUAUUAAAAGCUCUAUAUCUAUUGACAAUGAAAAUUAUCCAACAAAAUCAUAAAUUUUAAACCAAACAAUCCGCGUGAAACGCGGACAAACCACUAGUAUCUAAAGAAGAUUGAGUUUUGAGGUGCAAAUGAAAUGUACUUUGGCCUUCCUUUUACAAUAUGUUAUAGGUUGCUGUUUCGGGUUAGUUUGGCUGGGGUCGGUCACUGAAAUAAAGUAAAAAAAUUCGGUUUGGUUUCAAAAAAUAUUGGUUCGUUUUUUUAAAAGCAAUUAUCGAAUUUUUGGGUUUUUUUGUACGGUUCGGUUUUUGGUUAAUUUUUGGUUAGUUUGGUUUCAAAACUUUUUAUUGAAGUUGGGUUUUUGGUUCGGUUCGGUUAAUUUCGGUUUAAAUUGGAUAAAAUUAAAAAAAUUUGAUUAUUUUAGUUUGGAUUUUGGUUUUUGAUUCAGAAUUUCGGUUAAGAGUACUGUUUCAAAACUUUGUUUUAGAAAACUGAACUAACCGAUUACCUAACAGAAUCAAAAGCCAAAAUAUUUUUUGGUUGCCAAACUGAACCGAACUUGCAAACCGAAGAAAAUCUAACUUUUCGGUCGGUUUAUACCCGCAGGCACUUUUCGGUCGGUUUAUACCCGCAGGCCUAAUUAUGUUAUCUGGCAGGUGAAAUUUGAAAAGAAGCCGGCUUUGCACAAAGCCAACAAGUUCACACUGAAAAAGUGUCUCAAGAGAGACUGUGAGGCGAACUACAGAUAAGAUGGCUUCAGAUAAAGUUGAUUUGGGAUCUCAGACUGAUUCUUAGUCUCCUAGAAAAAGAGAAGUUGCUGUUGUCAGGAGUUCAUAGCGAGAUUAAGGAGUUUUUUUUUCUAAUGGUAAUAAAAUUUAAAAUUAGAAGGUGACAACACCAAACGAAAAACCAACAAGUAAAAAAAAAACGAAGAAACACAACAUUAGAAACAGCCACAGAGUGCUCUACUGCUCUUCAGGUAUGCCAUGACCUGUCCCAUCUCCUUCACUUUCACGUGCCACCACCGAGUGCUCUACUGCUCUGUGGGUAGUAAGAGAUGUCAUGAGCUGCUCCUGCAGUUCAAAAGACUUCCCUAUCCGGAUCAAGCCGUACCCCAUUUCACACGAAACGGUCUGCUUCUCCGGUGGAUUCUCCAGCUCGGCCACCCUCAGUUGCAAAGCUCGCAUAUAUUUCAGCCACUUCGGGACGGAGUAACCUACCACCAUUGUUUCCGCCUCUGGAAAAACCUGGCCGCAGUCUGCUAUCGUCACAGGCUGGAGAGGGUAUCCAUUGGUGCCACCAACCAUCUGCUCAACGCGACUGAUCACAUCAACUCCAUCCACAACUUCUCCGAACACCACCUGCUCGCCGUCUAAAUCAGGGGACGCCCUCAUGAGGAUCAUGAACUGAGAUUCGUAGUAGUCGUAGGUGGUGCUUUCAUCGUUCCUAGUCAUUGAGAGGAUGAUGCCUUUGCCGUCGUGCUUCCUUUUGUAGUUGUUGUCCGCCAAAGGUUGGCCGUAGAUGGAUUCGCCUCCUCCUCCACACCCGUGAGUGGUAUCUCCUCCGUACCAAAUGAAGUUUGGGGUCAUGCCGUGGAUGAUGGUUCCCUUGUAGUGGAGCGGUAUGCCGGACUCCCCUAUGCCUUUCUCGCCUGUGCAGAGAGCGCGGAAGUUCUCCGCCGUCUUCGGGUUCGUGUCGGCGAAGAGCUCUAUCACGAUCCGACCAACGGGUCUGAAGUUGACGGCGAUUUCGAGGAAGACUCUAGGGUUUGUCGACAUCGGGAGUUGAUCACUCAUUUAGGGUUUGCUACGAUGCGAGGAGUGAUCUUUUUUUGUAUAUUUUUUUUCGAUGAAGGAGUUACUUAUCAUAAAGUUCUUUCUUGAAGACAGUAACGUACCAAACAUGUCAUUCUUUGAUUCAAAACAAAUCCAUGCAUUGAUGGACAAGUUCUGAAAAAAAAAUUGAGGAGUAAAAGAAAAUCUACAAUACUAAAAGCCGAAUAAGGAGUGCAGCGAGCGUGCCACGUCAGCUUUUAUAUUCGGACUAAUCAGAAGCGUCGAAUCCGACACGUCAGACGGGCUCGCGGCUGUUUUGUCUGAAUUGUCGUUGGGCUUCUGUGGGCUUCAUCCUUAGUGGUUGCAAAGUGGGCUUCGUCACACUUUUAUGUCGAAACAUAAAAUACAAAAGAAACUUCGGCGUCUCCGUCGAAGCUUAUCGUCUCUGUCUCUUCAUCUUUUCAUCGCCUCUACCUUUUCGUUUUCUCCGAUCGAAGAGCGAGGAAGCCGAGAGUUAAUCGAGUUUUUACACAAUCAAUACUUCUUUUAUGAUUUCGUUUCACCUCCCCCUUUUCAUCCUUCUUUAUAUAUUGAUCUUUUUAUUUCAUAUAAACCAAAACCCUAGAACCAAUCAAAACUCGAUCCAUGGCGAUGAAACGAAAUGGGAAGUCGCAUGUCUCCUCAGACUCUGAUGAACAAUUCAUGUCCUUCAAGGAUGUCUCUCUAGGUCCCCAUGAAGCUCAGCUACGCUUUCGACUCAUCCAUUUCUGGGAGGCUCGGAACCCGGUGAAGAAGACACUGAUUGGCCUCGAAAUGCUCCUUAUCGACGAACAGGUGCGUUGAUUUUUCAAUCAUAGUUUCCAGAUCGUGAGAUCUAUCUUUCCGGAAAUUUUUGUCGUUUCUUUAAAGCUACGUUUACGAUGAUUGUUUUAGACUUAUACGCUUGGUUAGUUAGUUAAAGUAGUGUUUGUUUCGAUCUGUUAUGAUUCUGAGGUUUCAUUUUAGUCUUUUUCUUAUACGAUUGGUUAAUUAGUUAAAGUGGUGUUUUUUGGUUGUCUGUUUGUUUCGAAUCUGUUAUGAUUCUGAGGUUUCAUUUUAGCCGUUUUCUUAUACGAUUGUUUUUUUUUAAAGCUAGGUUCACGAUGAUUGUUCUAGACGUUUACUUAUACGCUUGGUUAGUUAGUUAAAGUAGUGUUUGUUUCGAAUCUGUUAUGAUUCUGAGGUUUCAUUUUAGACGUUUUCUUAUACGAUUGGUUAAUUAGUUAAAGUGGUGUUUUUUUGGUUGUCUAUUCUAAUUCUGAUGUCACAUUUUCACUCCGUGAUUUGUUAUUUCAGGGAACUGUUAUUCAAGGAUUUAUCCCACCUGGACGAAUUAAGAAGUACCUGCCUGAUAUGAAACGUGGAUCGGUUUACAAACUCAUCAACUUCUACGGAUCGAAAAACAAACCGGUGUAUCGGGUUGCUGAUCAUCUCGCAACCGUGUCUUUCACAUGGAAUUCUGAAAUGUCGGCUCUUCACGAGAUUCCCAUCUCGAUUGAUGAAGACCGUUUCAGGUUUCAUUCACACGAAGAUUUUGAAACUAACUGUGAUCUCAAAGGUGACCUCUACGGUAAGCAUAAUAAUUUUAUAAAUCAUGUGUCAAUUGCAUUGCUUUGUAUAGUCUUUAGUCUAUUCUAUUGCUUGGUUAACGAAAUUUAGAUUUUUUGGUUUGUACAGUUUUGUUAGCCGUCUAACUGAGACUCUUGAUGAAAAAUGUUACAGAUGUUGUAGGCCAUAUGAAGCUGGUCGAUGGACAGACCCUGAUUGAGCGUCCCAUCAUUGACGAUGUGAAGAUCGCUACCACUCGGCACAUCAUGAUUCAUGUGCAAUCACAUGAGUAAGUGUGUACUUUUAUUUCAAGUCACCAUCUCUCUGUAGUUCGUAAAUCCCUAAGAGUUUAUUUUUGCUGUGGGCCUGUGAUGAAACUCUACCUUUGGGACCAGGCUGCAACAGACUUCAUCAAGAAAUUCAACUCCUGUGAAAACACUCCCACGGUGCUUUUGGUCACAACCGUUAAAACCAAGCGUCUCGGAGGUAAUUAUUUAACUUUUAGACUCAUGUUUUCAGUGAUUAAGUGAUAUGAGCUUAUUAACAAUCCUAUAACAUUUUCUUCUUUGUCAUUAGUUUCUAAUUUCACUCAUUCAUUUAUCUCUUUAUAUUUAUGUUUGCACUGAUAUGAAUUAACCGUUUCUAAACGUUUUCUUCUUUAUCAUUAGUUGUUAAUUUUCACUAAAUCCUUUUAAUGAUUCUUCCAUGACUGAACAGGUACCCUUGCCCUGACGUCUAUGUCCUCUACAUGGGUUUUCAUGGACAAUGAUGUCCAACCAACCAGGAAUUAUUUAACAUGGUAUGUAUCCCGUCUUCAGCAUAUGUUCUAUACAGUUUCAAGUGACGCAUACACUUACGCUUAUAUAGUAGUAAAUGACUGAAGCUCUGUUUUAUGUUUUGUUUCAGGCUGGGCUCUAACCCAGAGAUUGCUAAUCAGGUUAGCGCAGACGUCAUCACUAAGCGUGAGACACUGACUAUAGCAGAUAUAUUCUCCUACAUGAGUCAGGAAUCUGCAAAGGUAUAAGUGAAGCUAAAUUACUUAACUCAUUUUAAAACGCUAAUAUAUUUUAAUCACAUGCUUAUAAACUGUGGCAGGAUGCCUUUUUUGAGUGCACGGCUACGAUUGAUGAUGUUGUGCAUGGCUCUUCUUGGUACUAUAUUGGAUGCAGUGAGUGCCAUUCUAAGGUUACCAAAGGCACAAAUUCGUUGAUUUGUACAAACGCAAAAUGUGCAAAGGUUAACACAACUGGUGUUGCACAGUAUGAUUUCUCUCCUUAGUCUUCAUUUAUGGCGUUUGGUUUUUGUUUAUUACAUUUGUGACGUUGGUUUCUGAUUCUUUCACAACAGGUACCGUGCAAAGAUUUCUGUUUAUGACAACACUGAACAAGCUUUUUUCGUCUUACUUGGAGACGCUGGGCGUGAGUUGACUGGGAGGCAUGCAUCCGAAUUAGUUAGCAACUACUUUGAGGUAACUGAGCAUCAGUUUAUGAUCUCAAAUGUUUUUUCCUUAUUUUGUUGCUGAUCUCUCACGUGACUUAACUGACACUAUUACAAUUGAAUGUAAGGCUAAUAAAAGCGAAGGAGCUGACCAUGAGGUACCUAUCCCGGAAGCUCUGAUCAGCAUCAUCGGACAGACACAUAAGUUCUGUGUGAAAGUUACAGAUCACAACUUCUCAGGCAAUACACGAGCCGUAACUGUCACCAAGAUCCUCCCUCUAGACACACCACCACCUACGGAAGCCUCAGUUGGAAAUGACAUUGGUGCAACGUCCGAGGAAGCAAAGCAUUCUGGAAACGACGUCUGUGAACCCCCUACAAGCCGUGGAGAUCCUGCAGAUGAGGAUAGCAAGCGGACGUGUGGCAGUGCUGACCCAGGGACAGCUAAACGCCCAAGAUGUGGGAAUUAGAACUUGGGUUCAUUGGUGUUUAAGUCUACGCUUUACAGUUCAAGGAUCGUUUUUUUUUAAAAAAAUUUGCUGCAGUUUAAGUACUUUUUGGGUUUUUUUCAAAGACAAUGCAUUGUUUGUUUUCAUUUAAAGACUGUCUUUAAAUCAUUUGAGCUAUCUUUUUUAUAAUCUCUGUUGAUUCUUAUAGUCUAUGUUGUCUUUCUUUAUAUCUGAGCAAAAUCUAGAAAAUGUAUAGAGUUUUCUGUAUCUUUUUAAAUCAAUUAUACCAUGAUUACUUAUCAAAAUUCCAUAUAAUGAAUCGAGAACACCUUCAAGAUAUUUAGACUCUUUUAAUAAGAUUGAAUCAUUCACGGUUGUCUAAUAAUUAAGAUAUUUAGACUCAUGUAACUUUAGGAAAUGUGUAUCAUUCACGGGUGUGUAACAAAAUUUUCUUUUCUCUAGAGACAAAUAAACCACUUAACCUAGCUAAUCUUCAACGCCUCAUUCAAGUCCAAGUCAUAUUCUGAUCUGUUUUCAGUGGGAAAUUUUUAGUUAUUUCUAGAGCUUAUCACAGAACAAAUCUCUUUUUAACUUUUUAUGGCUUUUCCUGUUUGAAUCAAAAAGUAAACACAUUUAUCUAAUUGAUAAUAGGUUGGCUGAAAGGAUUGCUGUUUCAACGGAAUGGAUAACCCACCCAAUAAUCAACCCAUAGAAACUGCAGGUAAUUAUAUAAUCUACUGCCUCUGUUUCUCAGGGAAAACACAGAUAUGAAGGAUCGAGUCAUUUUUUGGGUUUUUUUUUAGGAGUUUAAGUUUCUUUUUGGUCAAUGAAUUGGAAUAUCAAAUCCGAUCAAACCACAAUUUAGUUUCAGUUACGGGACUUUGCCAAAAAAUUAUAUCAUUGUUUUUAUGAUAUAUUUAAUUAUAUACAUUUUUUUUUACAAUUUUAUCAUUGUUUUUUCUAUAAUCUUUAUUUCUCUAUAAAAUCUAAAACUCCACUCCUGUUUUACAAACUUUGCAAAACAAUUUAAAUAUAGUGAGAAUAAAUUAAAAAGACAUAAUCCGCACGUAUUGCGGACAAUUUAUUAUCAUUCCAUUUUGUAUAAAAUUUUACAAAGAAGAUUUAAUUUCUUUCUGAUCACGAGAUCAUAUAUGUACAAUAUUAUUUCUAUAUUUUCCUGUAAUUAUAAAAUAUCAUAGACAAUUACAUAUAUAUGAAAAAAUAAAAAACAUUUCAGUAAUACUAAUUAUACGUUUGUUUUGGUAGCAUUAAUCUGUGAGGGAAAACAUAUUUUAACUGUCCGGCUAUUAUGUUCCGUAUGACCCAAAAUGAUAAUUUUGAAAAUACAUCCCUGUGUGUAAUAAUUAUAGUUGAAAAUUCAUGUCCAUUUUUAAUAAAGCUGAUGAUUUACUAUAAUUCCAAUAAAACACACAAAAAAAUUCUAAUAGUUUUAAAUAUGCAUAUAUUUUUGUAUAAUUAUAGACCAAUUUUAUAGAAUAUACCAUUUUUAUAUUUUUAAUAAACCAGUUCCAGCAUAUAUUAUAUUUGUUCAUUUUUAAAAUAAAAACACACAAAUUCAAUUAAUAUUAUAGGAAAAAAUCUGGGCGUAGCCCGGAAAACCCUCUAGUUCAUUUUAAUGAAGUAAAAUGAGGAAAGAAAACUGCUAGACUUGGCUAUAUUUCAUACGUUAACCAGAUUAAAAGAAAGCAAAAAAAGAUGGUGCUGCCCAGGAUCGAACUGGAGACCUUUUGCGUGUAAGGCAAACGUGAUAACCACUACACCACAGCACCUUAUUGAUUGUGAUAGUGUGUUUGUAAUCCAAAUAGUAAAUGUAAGGUUAAUUGCGAAUUUAUAUUCAGGGAGGAGAACAUAAGGAAAAUUGGAAAAAAAAAAUCAGAGAAAAAAAGAAAAAAUUACUUUAUAUUCAAAUAUCUGGGCAUAGAUAAAUAUAGAAGUAUCUUAAUUGUGAAUCUAAUCUAUAUUCAGGUCGCAGGGAGAGUGUGAAAAGGGGAAAGCCGAGAAACACGUAAAAUACGAAAUGACAGUAGAGGGAGAGAUUCGCUGUCCACGGAUACGACAGCGUUUCAAGGAAUAUUCAUUUAUUUCCAGCCAGAUGAUUCUACUUUACAAUUGACCGAAUUACCCAUCACUCCGACAGUUAAUUGCGAAAUCGCAGCCUUAACUGGACCGAACCACCACGCAGCCAUCUUCCCCCUUUUGUCCGAACGUGCCGCUUAUCUCUCUCCCACGAGAGUGUGUCACACAAUCGAACAUUUUUAUUUCUUUUUAAAAAAAUUUCGAUUUUUGAAGUAUUGCAAGAAAAGAAUCGUAUAAUUCUACUUCCUUGGCUUUUGAGAUUCACAAACACGCUUACGCAAAUUCGAUAUACACCAAGGACGAAGGAGCAUACUUUAUAAAGUUGAGGAUCCAGAUCGUGGAGAGAGUUAGAGAUAGAGAGAGGAUACGAUGCCGCCGGAAACAUCGCCGGCCAAACUCGGCAGAGCUUCUUCCUCCUCCUCUUCAUCGUCAUCUUCAAGCUCAGACCGUGCUUCCGUCAAAAUCGAGGAGAUUGAAGACGGAGGUAGUAGCGGCGUCGUCGUCAUCAAUGGCUCUGAAGUAGUGGAGACCAAACUAGAGUCUGCUGUCGCCGACAACACUCUGGCUGAAUCUUCAGGUAUCUCAGUUAGCUGAUUGAACCCAAGGCAGAGUUGGAUAGGCUUAAAGUUUAUCCUUUCUCUGGAUCCAAUCCAUUUUUGGAUGGUUUUGAUUUGUUCGGGUCCUAGUCAGCGAAUAGGACCUAAAAGGAACGAUUUUUUAGACUCUAGGCGGUCAAUGGCCCAGUGGUCUCGACGGAGCUUCGGUCCGUAUUGGGACCGGCUCUCCCCUGACACUGGGGCAAAAUUUAACAUCUGGACUUCCCCAGCGUCUGUUGACUGCUACAGACACUCGCUGCUGCUAGUGUGGAACCACUUCGGUGGGACCAGGAUACACCGGGUUAUUCAAAAAAACAAAAACAAAAAUGGCCCUAGACGUCCGCACUUACGUGGUUUUGAUGAUUUGGGGUUUGUGGGUUUUUUUUUUCAGGUGGUGGGAGUAAAAGCUUUGCUAGAGUAUGGACAAUGCCUGUGGAAGGUUCUUCGAGUAGCGAUAAAGCUGAAUCAUCAUCAUCAGCGUCAAAGCCUAGGUUAGACAAAUCAAAGAGUGAGAGGCAACAGCAGAAAGAGAAAGUCGCUCACAUUCUCGCCGAGGACGCCGCUAAGAUCUUCGAUGACAGACUCUCUGCAGGGAAGAAGGUACAAAACAUUCUAUUCUUGGGUUGUAAAUCUUCUAUUUUUAGUAGUGAAAGUCUUUUUUUUUUUUUCUUUAAAUGUCUUAUUUUGUUUUUUUGGCAGCUGAAAUUGUUGAACCGUAUAGCUACGGUGAAACAUGAUGGGACUGUUGAGUUUGAAGUCCCGGCAGAUGUUAUCCCACAGCCUAUUGCUGUUGACCGUGAAGAAGAUUCCAAAAACGGUGUUUGUCCUGAUGAGUCUAUCGAUGGGGUGGAUCUUCAGUAUAUCCCUCCUAUGCAGAUUGUGAUGCUUAUCGUUGGAACGCGUGGUGAUGUUCAGCCUUUUGUUGCGAUUGCCAAACGCCUUCAGGUUUGGCACAUAUCUUAUUAAUUUUAUAUUUUGAAAUUUUUUUUGGUGUUGUAGUAUAUUUCUCUUCAUUCUUCUCUCUUUCUUGUUCAUAAUUAAUGUAGAAAUUUUAUUUGAUACAGGACUAUGGGCAUAGAGUUAGACUUGCAACUCAUGCGAAUUUCAAAGAGUUUGUUUUGACUGCUGGUUUGGAGUUUUAUCCUUUAGGUGGAGAUCCAAAAGUGCUAGCUGAAUGUAUGUAUUAACCAAACAUUCCCAUUCUUCUCUUCUUCGUUGUUACUUUAAUCUAUGUGUAGCUUUAAAGGUUAUUAUUUAUUUAUUCAUUGGUUUGCUUGCUACGUUUGUGUACAGAUAUGGUUAAGAACAAGGGGUUUUUACCAUCAGGACCUUCAGAGAUUCCGGUUCAACGAAACCAAAUGAAGGAUAUCAUAAAUUCUCUGCUUCCAGCAUGUAAAGAACCUGAUCCAGAUUCUGGUAUCUCCUUUAAAGCCGACGCAAUUAUCGCCAAUCCUCCAGCAUAUGGUUAGUCUCAGUAGCUUUUGAAUUUGAAAUGUUUUGUUUUCCCUAGCUUCCUGAGUUAUCUCAGAGAUUCACUUUGAAUGGUAACUAACUUGAGAAUCGCUGUUGCAGGACAUACACACGUGGCAGAAGCACUGAGGAUACCUAUUCACGUGUUUUUCACCAUGCCUUGGACGUAAGUCUUGUAUUGACCGAAUGAAUGAAUGUUACUUUGAACUCUCUUUCGGUUCAUAACCAUUCACUAUCUUUCUGCUAUUAAACUAAUGAUACAGGCCAACCAGUGAGUUUCCACACCCUUUGUCACGUGUCAAGCAACCAGCAGGAUACAGAGUGAGACUUGUUUUACUCAGAUAUUGCUAUAAAACUUGACUUCUUCUUUUAACAUAAUGCAAUUUUCAGCUUUCGUAUCAAAUCGUGGAUUCAUUGAUCUGGCUUGGAAUAAGGGACAUGAUAAACGACCUUAGGAAAAAGAAACUGAAGCUAAGGCCCGUUACAUAUCUAAGUGGAACACAAAGCUCUGGCUCUAAUAUUCCAUAUGGAUAUAUGUGGAGUCCUCAUCUAGUCCCAAAGCCCAAAGGUAGUGUGUCUCCUAUGAACUCACUCAUGAAUGCUUUUCUUCACUUUUGAUAAAUAGAAAAUUUAGAUUCAAACUUUUCAAUUUAUUUUCAGACUGGGGCCCACAAAUAGAUGUAGUGGGAUUCUGCUUCCUUGAUCUUGCAUCAAACUAUGAACCUCCUGCAGAACUCGUGGAAUGGCUAGAAGCUGGUGACAAACCUAUUUACAUCGGCUUUGGUAGUCUCGUGAGUUUUUUUUUUUCUUGACCUGAAUAGUAUUUUCUUAGAGGAAAUUUGAAAAUAAUGUCUCUUACCGUUGUGUGUUUAUUAGCCUGUGCAAGAACCAGAGACAAUGACUGAAAUAAUUGUGGAAGCACUUCAAAGAACCAAACAGAGAGGAAUCAUCAACAAAGGCUGGGGUGGCCUUGGAAACUGUAGGGUCUACUCGUUCUUUGACAUUUCCUUUAUUGCAUACUUGCCUGUUUGGUAUAUUCAUCAUUAUACAUGUUUGAUGUGGCUCUCAUGCAGUGAAAGAACCGAAGGACUUUGUUUACUUGUUGGAUAAUGUCCCUCAUGAUUGGUUAUUCCCAAGAUGCAAGGCAGUGGUAUGUCUACAAUAAUCUUGAACAUCCUCUUGCUUUGUCUAGUCCCUUAUUUGAUGUUUAGCAUUGUGUGUUCCCUUUUGUUUUGAAAUUUGUUGUUCUUCUGCUUUCAGGUUCAUCAUGGAGGUGCUGGAACAACGGCUGCAGGUCUUAAAGCAGCGGUAAGUUUAUUUUUGAUUGUAAGCUAUAAAAAAUUCUGCUUCAUGAGAUGGGACUUUAGUAGUUAAUAUGGAAGUGUCUUGCCUUUUUUCUUAAACAACACAGUGCCCAACUACAAUAGUGCCUUUCUUUGGAGACCAACCUUUCUGGGGAGAAAGAGUGCACGCUAGAGGAGUAGGUCCUGCACCAAUCCCAGUAGACGAAUUCUCACUCCAUAAGCUUGAAGAUGCCAUUAAUUUCAUGCUUGACGAUAAGGUAAGAUAGUGGACUUUAGUAGUUUAUAUGCACAUCCCAGGAUAUGAUCAUGGUAAUGCCAUUGUGGUUUACAAUUGAAACUGAGCAUGUGUAUAAUUGGGAACAGGUGAAGAGCAGUGCAGAGACACUAGCAAAGGCGAUGAAGGACGAGGAUGGUGUGGCUGGAGCUGUGAAGGCCUUCUUCAAACAUCUUCCGAGUAUGAGACAGAAUGUUUCGGAUCCUAUCCCUGAACCAUCGAGCUUCCUAUCGUUUAGAAGAUGCUUUGGCUGUUCGUAACUUUCUCCUCAUUGACUCUUGUGCAUUGUUGUGACCUCUUGUUGUAUGUUUGUUUGUAUUUUUCAUGUUCCUUGGUUUUGGUUCUACAACUCACUCAGGGAUAAGUUGUGAAAAAUACUUGGGAAUUUUAAUGUUUAGUUGAUGCAUAUAAAUUUUUGAUUUGUCAUAAAGUGGAAAACAAAGAUGUGUUCUAAUUUUAAAUAUCAUAUGGCAUUUUGUUUCAGUGUCUUGAGAUGCAACUUCUGUGGAAGGGUGUGCAGAAACAACUCAACUCAAUGAUUGUCUGCUUAUCAAACCAUGAUUAGUUAAUUAUUGCAUAAUUAUAAACCAUUAUUAGCAGUUAAAAAUUGUGAUUACCUUUGUAAUGACCAUAAGGUACUACAAUGCUCACAUGGGGAAAAGUCAAUACGCUGCACUAAGGAGGAAAAGUUAUCCAGACACUAUGAGACCUACUAUUUUAAUUAGCUGUCUUAUAUGAUUAUAAUUAUAAAUUUGUAUUUUUCCUUUCAUUGUCUCUAACAAAUUAUUUAUCCAAUAAGUUUGCUAGAGAAAAAGAGAGAUGAGGCAUACCAAUCACAUGACAUGAUACUGUUGUUGGCCAACUCAUUAUUGGCAUCUCACUAAACACUUACAUUUGUGCCAAGUACACAUACACAUGUGUUUCCAAUUUCUAUAAGAAUAAAAAUGCUUUUAGAAAUCUAAUCCAUUUCCCAUCCUUAUAUUGUCAUUUUAAUACAUUAUUAUAGCCUCUAUAUCAAUUGUAAUAGUAUAUUUUGAGAAAAAAACUACUAUAUGUUUGAAAGCUUUAUAACUACACACAUAUAUAUAUAUAUAUAUAUAUGAUAUGCCAGUCUUUUUUUUUUUUUGGUAAAAAUGUUAAGUCCAGUCUUUUUUUUUUUUGCUUAUGAUUCACAAUCUUUGUAAUUCAAGUAUAUACAGAACUAAAAGAAAACGUACGAGAAAGGGAAUAACAUCGGUGUAUUGAAAAACCAUAGGUAGAUAGCAAUAUAGGAUAUAAUAUAUAACAUCGCUGUAUAUAAAACUAUAUACCUAUUUUAUAUGGUUUACUAGUAUUAGAUAUUUUCUUUAUUGAUUCUAUAUUUUAUUGUUCUUUUCCAAUGAAUUUACCAAUAAGCUAAUGGUGAUAGGCUACGCAGCCUUCUUAUAUAAUAACUUCUCUCUCGUAGCCUUUCUUCUACGCUUCUUCUCUUAUUCCUUUUCCUUUCUUUUUAUCUCGAGAAAAACUCUGCUUCGAGCAGAGAGAGACAACUAGACAAAACAGAGCAAGAAGAACACAGUCAUAACAAUGGCUGUCACAAAACUUAUCCUCUUUGCUUCUGCAUUACUUGUAACAACGCUGUUUGUCGGCGUUAAUUCAUCCAGGUAUCACUUAUUAAUAACAUCAUCAUAUUUGUUUUUAUUUGUAUACAUUGACGUUUUUUUAGCUUAACUUUUUACGUAUUAUAUAGUUCAUGGAACCAAUCAACUAAGCUUAGUUACAUGAUUCAUCAACGGUGAAAAGAAUGCCAGUUUUCUCUCAUAAAUAUAAAACUUACAGAAGUUCUAUAUCAGUGGCUGAUGAGAGUUUUUAAAACAAACAUAUAGAUCAUUUUCAUCACUAUGAUCGUAGUGUAUAUUGUAUAGUUAUUCCACUCCUAAAGAACAGGAAACUGUUAAUAAUUUAUAGUAUAAUUAUAUAUCAUUGUUAUAGAUGAGACUGUAAUUGUUAGAUUGUUUAUUAUAUGCUUUCCAGGUCGAAUGAAACAUGGCAUGAACAUGCAGUUGAGAAACCAGAGGAAGUAGCUGCCAUGGUGGACAUGUGAGUUUCUCUUUAAACAAAAUAUAUUCUACGAAUACAGAUCAUUUUCUAUAUAAAUGUGACCUUUUUCUUAUUCUCAUAAUCCUCACAUGCAAGUCCAUCGUGGAUUCGUCAUAAAAGGCAAUAAUGCUAAGAGUAUCUAAAUAUUAGAAAGAAGUAUGAUAUUUUAGGUGGUGAAUGAUGUUGUGUGUAUUAUUAUUGUAGCAUUGGUCCAGGCUCGCGAACAUGUGUAAUGUUUUUCAAUAUUAAUCUUUGCAACAAUGAUUGGCCAGACCCUUGCACAUGCUCAUGCCACAUGCAGUGACGCAUACACUUCAUGACAUGUGUUGUCUUUUUAACUUGGAUUUUUCUUGAAACCGAUAGAUAAACAGUACGAAAAGCUUAUUCACAUAUAUAAGAUUUUUUUUACCUGUUUUGAUUUUCAGUACAAUAAAACUUUUGGUCAACAAAGGUUAAGCAAUAAUAAUCAUAUAUAUAUCAUUGAGAAAUAUUACAAGCUAUGAGAUCAUUUAACCCCAACCAUGGUCCAUUGACCCAAACCCUUUCUUGGGUUUCCUACUUUAUGUGGAGUUGCCUCUUGUCUUUGGGGUUUUCUGUAGAGUUUGUAGUGACUGUUUUUAUGUUCUAAUAAAAAUACAUUUCACACUGGUAAAUCGAGUUUUUUAAGCAAAUCAUACUACAUAUUUGGAAACCCAAAUGUAGAAGCUUAUGUUUGAUAUCUCAAACACAUCAAUUAAACUAUGCAUAUCAUCAAAUUAUAUUUCUCCAUUUUAUUCUAUAAAAAUCACAGUGUUAGUUUAUUGAUAAAUAUUUGGUAUUUUCUUAUAUUAAUAAAUGUAUAUGAGCUUCCAAAAGAGCAAUUAAACUAUACUGCCUUCGUUUUUAUAGAUAGAUUUUUUUUUUAUGUUUUCACACAUAUCAAAAAACAUAUUAAAAAUUUAUUAUAAAUACAUAUUUUCUUAUAAUUUUCAGUUUUCAAAAAUAUCCAGCCAAUAGCAAUUAAAUAAUCUCAAUCAAUUUGUUAAAAUUUACAAUUUAUGCAUAAAAAUAGAAAAAAAAAUCUAAGUUUGUGAAACAAUAGUUUCUAAACAUCUAUAAAACAGAUAGAAUGUCUUCUUAUUCGAAGUAUACAUUACUAAUAGUAUAAAUUAUGAGUCCAAGAUUCAAUUUCUUAAACAAAGUGCAAUUUUGAAUUUUUUUAAUAAUUUUCGGUUAAUGUUUUUCUUUUACCUUUUUACCUAAUAAAGACAUUUUUAUUUUUACAGAGAAGUAUAAAUGUCUAGUGAUUAAUUAUCCAGUAAAAAAAAAUUCAAAAAUCUAUUUCACUAAUUCCACCACUUGCUGCUGAUCGUGAUCCACACAGGAGCAUUCGCAACAGCACGGAGCGGAGACGCUUAGGCUACUUCUCCUGCGCCACCGGCAACCCAAUCGACGACUGCUGGCGCUGCGACCGCAAAUGGCAGCUCCGCCGCAAACGCCUCGCCGACUGCUCGAUCGGAUUCGGCCGCAACGCGAUCGGCGGCCGCGACGGCCGCUACUACGUCGUAACCGACCCCGGCGACGACGAUCCCGUCACCCCCAGACCGGGAACGCUCCGCCACGCCGUGAUCCAGAACGAGCCGCUCUGGAUCGUCUUCAAGCGCGACAUGGUGAUCACCUUGAAGCAGGAGCUGAUCAUGAACAGCUUCAAGACCAUCGACGGCCGCGGCGUCAACGUCCACAUCGCAAACGGCGCGUGCCUCACGAUCCAGUACGUUACCAACAUUAUUGUGCAUGGGAUUCAUAUCCAUGACUGUAAGCCCACGGGGAACGCGAUGGUGAGAAGCUCUCCGUCGCAUUACGGGUGGAGAUCGAUAGCUGACGGUGACGCGAUCUCGAUCUUUGGGUCGAGUCAUAUCUGGAUUGAUCAUAACUCGCUCUCGAAUUGCGCUGAUGGGCUUGUGGAUGCUGUUAUGAGCUCCACUGCGAUUACAGUCUCUAACAACUUCUUCACUCACCACAAUGAGGUAUUAUAUAGAAAUUCUAUGAAUUAAUAAAUUUUUAACUAUUCUUGAGUUGGAUCGGUGUAAAAUAUAAAAUAAUGAAUUUCACUGUAAAUAUAAAUUAAUAAAUAAUAUAUAUAAUGUUUAUAGAAAUAUUAAUAAUAUAUUGUAUAAUUUGUUUUUUUUUUUUUAAAUAGUGACUAUCUUUAUAUUUUAUAAACAUUUCAAAAUAAUUUAUUUGUCAGUUUACACCUCAAAAUGCAUCUAAAUUUACGGUUAAUAUUUUUAGUACCAAAUAAUCAAAUAAUAACAACGUAAAUUUGUAUCUGUAAAUUUAAUCAAUAUAUGUAUGGUAAAGUCAAAUAUUCUUUUUAUUUCUACUUAAAACAUGUAUCAAAAUCUACAAAUCUAUAAAAUAACUUUUUGUUAAUUAUUAAGUAAUAAAAUAUUAUAUUUCUAAAGUUAUUAAUUUAAAGAGUUUUUACUCUCUAUAACUAAAGUUUCACAUUUUAUAGGGUUUAUUGGAAUUGAGAAUUAGGGGUUUAGUAACGGUUGCGUGUUGUUUAGGUUAUGUUGCUGGGGCAUAGUGAUUCAUACACAAGGGACAAAGUGAUGCAAGUUACAAUUGCUUACAACCAUUUUGGUGAGGGUCUUAUCCAGAGAAUGCCAAGGUACAGAACCUCAAGCUUUGCUAGUUAUAUGGUUUGAGAAGUUUUGUAGAUUCGAAAGACGAAUGAAGAAACAUAUAUGGUGUUUGCAGGUGUAGGCAUGGAUACUUCCAUGUAGUGAACAACGACUACACACAUUGGGAGAUGUAUGCCAUUGGUGGUAGUGCUGGUCCGACUAUUAACAGUCAGGGGAAUCGAUUUCUUGCCCCAACAAACCCAUUUGCUAAGGAGGUAUGUUUCGAUCUUUUUCAAGUGUGCUGAUGCCAAACCAUAUUGAUGGUGUGUAGUCUUCCCUCUCUUUUGUCAAGAGAAAGAGGUCUUAAUGUGUCAUUGAUCUUUCUAACAAGAUUUGAUUGCAAUGAGAUUGAUGAUUGGUGAAUGUGGCAGGUGACUAAGAGGGAGUACACAGGACAAUCAAAAUGGAAGCACUGGAAUUGGAGAUCAGAAGGAGAUCUUUUCUUAAACGGAGCAUUUUUCACACGGUCUGGAGCUGGAGCUGGAGCCGGCUACGCCAGAGCUUCGAGUUUGUCGGCCAAAUCAUCCUCACUCGUAGGCACCAUGACCUCUUACUCUGGUGCUCUUAACUGCAGAGCCGGUCGCAGGUGUUAAUAGAUCAAAUAAUCAGAAAAGCCAUUUUAUUGGUCUUGAAGAAACAAGUGAUCGAUAAGUUUUUACCGAAUGUCAGCCUCUCGUUUUCUUCUUUAUUUUAACUUUUGGGGUUCAUGCGAUAUAACACUUCCCUAUUGGAUGCGGAGGCCUAGUUUAAACGCCCUCAAGUGUAAUAUAAAGCUGUAUGAAUAUUCUUCUUGUCACCUACGUUGAUAUAAAGUUGUUUCCUUAGUCGUUUAUCUUGCUUCUAGUGGUCUUAAAACACUAAAUGAAAGCUUAGUACUUGGUGGGGUUACUUCCAAAGGAAUCAAUAGUGAAAUGGUGUGAUUGGAUAAGUGAGUAAAGGAAGUGAAUGUGGUAGGGACAUGUGGAACUUAAGAAGGAAACAUGGAAGAGACAAUAAGCACAUGAGAUUGCAUAUCAUGACUCAUGAGGAGAAGGAUGCAAGUGUGCUUUAAAGAAGAAGAAGGGUCUCUUUUUUCGAGUCAUGUGAUGUUUGGUUUGGCCAACGAACAUGUUACUGUUUCUCCUCCUUUACCACUCGGUUCGUUUAAUAAGACAAAUCAAAUUAGUUCAAAUGGGGUAGUAAUGUAAUGAAGGAGAAGCAGUAACAAUGUAACAUGAUGUUGACCAAGCAUAUGACUAUUCAUUUAACCAGAGUAGUGUAUGCCACUAUACACAAUACAUGCUAAAUCGCAUUAACAAGAACGGUUAUCAAGAAUGAUAAAAAAAACGAUCAAAACUGUAUUAAAAAUUCAUAAAAUUCAUUGACUAAUGUUUUUUAUUUAUUUCAAAAACAUUUAGACAUGCAAUAAUGUUUAGUGAUGGAGCUUAUUACAGCAUCCGCAACGGGGGACGUCGAGAGUCCUUAGCGUCCUAACCUAGGCAAACUAGAUUAUAAUAAUAUUAUUUAAGCUAAAUAACAUAAGGAUCAAUCCGUAAAUAAGGAUUUACCGGACUUGAUCCUUAGAGACGUGCCAUGAUUUGAUUCGUUUGGUCGGCUUUUGCGUUUGGUAUUGGAAAAAAAAAGAAAUCAUUUUCGACGGAAGACGCAGAAAAAAAGAGAGCUCUCGACGAAAGGCGAUUCGAUCUGUCGGAACACGAAGGUAAAUCAAAGCCUUCUCAUGGAGUUUUUUUGGAUUUAGAUUAGGUUCAAUGUUGUAUUUCUCUCAAUUUAGGGUUGGGUUCUCGGUUUUCAAACGAUUUGGGGAUUUUUCCGUAUGAAGUUAGGGUUUCAAAUGAUUUGGGUUUUCAAUUGAUUUGGAGAUCUUUUCGUCUGUAGUUAGGGUUUAUACACGAUUUUGAUUUGAAACAAUUUGGGGAGCUUCUCUUUUGUUUUACCGUCGAUUAUUACAACCGAGUUACAAUCGAGUUUUACAAUCUUCUCGUUUGUUCUUAAUCUUUGGUCAUGUUUUGUUCUGACGGUUCUAACUCGAUCCCUCUGUUUUGUUCAAUCGAUGCUCGUUGCUGUUUAUAACUUCCCUUUGAUAAUCUUCUCGUUUGUUCUUAAUCCCUUUGCUCGUUGCUUUUUAUAAUCUUCUCGUUUAUAAUGUUCUUUGAUUGUUGUUGGUUAAAUGUAUUUUUCGCUUACAUAUCUUCUUCGCUUUAUCUAAUCUUCGCUUACACAAUUGCUUUCAGGUUAACGAAGCAUGGGACAAAAUUAUUCGUACAGCCAGCCUUCUUCAUCAGACGAGUUCGACAUAACUUCCCUUCUUCAAGCAGAAGCUGAACUGUACGCGGAUGAAGCUGAGAGUAGCUACAAUAUGGCAGGACCGUUUCAGUACCCACCUCAACCUGAGGCUGAUGAUGGAAUCUCAAUAAUAUGUUUGGCAUUUGGAAUGAUGUUCGGGAUAGGCGUAUACAUCAACAUUUGAAAAAUGAUUUAAUUGAACAUAUUUAGAACUAAUUUGGUGAUGAAGAUUAAUAAUUAUUGUAUCUUUAUGUUUAAUUAUUGUAUCUUUAUAUUUAAUCAUGCAAUAAAUAAAAAUUAAAUUUCACUUAAAAAAAAUUAUUUUUUUAUUCCUAAAGACUCCAAAUUGGGGAACACCAUUGGACACACUAUUUUGAUUAGAGUUCUUGACUAUUCAAACAAAAACAAAAAAAAAUACUAUAAUAGGACUCCAAGAAGGAGUCCACCAUCUCACGAUCAUCUUCUUCCCCGUCAGCAUGUAUCAAUCAGAGGAGAUAUUUAAAUCCUUAGCAUGCAAUUAUCAUGGUUCUGAAAAAGAAACUAAUGUGACUGAAACUAACAAUCGAACACAUUUGCCUCCAGACAUUUCUCCCUAACGCGAUAACCGUACAUAUAUGGUCCAGAGGACCAGAGCAGUUUACUUCAAUAUAUAAAUAAAACUGUAUGAGACAAAUCAGCAAUGACCUUUAGAUUUUCUUUUUGACUUUUCAGACCCUAAUAUGUAUAUUUGGAUGUGUAGGUUUUUGUUGGCAAAGGGUGGAUUAUGCGAUAUUGCGAUGUGUCUUAUAUAUAAACCAUUAUCCUCAACUAUUACUGCUAAUGAAAUGAGAAUUUGGUUUUUGAGCAAAACAAAGCGGUUAACUGAAGAAUGCAUGAAGACAACUUAACAGUGGUUUUUAAUAUCAAAGUCAAGUAUAUGAUGAUAGUAUUCAAAUGAUGUUGAUUUCCAUUAAAAAAAAAACAAAUCAAAUUUGUCAAAUAUCAAAAACUCAGAUGAAUGUAGAUAUGUUCUAAUCGCAGAGAUUUAUUGAUUGUUAUUGAUGAUUUUCAAUACAUUUAAUGGUCACAACAACACUGAUUCGGAUUUUCCCAGCCAACACAUUGGCCAGAUUGGUAUCCCAUCCUGAUGCAAGCAGUCGCACAGUCAAAAAUCAUUCCACACCGUCCAAUGCAUUGUCCGUCGGCUUCAACUUUUUCUACAUUUCACCCAAACCAAAAUAAAUAAAAAGAGUACUGAGAGAUAAGUAUAUAACAAGGAGUAUAAUAUUUUGCAUAGUUUGCUAUUAAAUAGAUAUCAUGAGAUCUGCAACUCAUAUACGGAAUAACCUGGAACCGUGAGAAAUAUGAUGAGUACUGAAGCAAUCAUUAGGAAGCUCAUGAAUCCAAUCUUGCAAUUCGUCUUCAUUGUAUUGUAAAUAUAUUACCUCCUUUUAUCAAUUCAGUAUAUCACCUUUGCUUUAUUGAGUAUUGAACUUGUAUAUACAAUUGAUUGGGUUGCUCUGUUCUUAUAUGUACAGAGUUGAAGGCAAGAAAGGGAAGACAAUAUUACAGGAAUAAUUACAGGGAAUAUAGACGUUGGUAGAGGAUCAAGAUUAUAUAUUUUCCAUACUCUUACAUGAUUUAUAUCUUUGAGUUUCUUUUAUUGGUUUUUAAGAUUCAAAAACAGAAUCUCAUUUUAGUUUAGCCAUCAUUAUAAGAAGAGAAAAAAAAGAAAUCAGGUUUGUAUUAGCUAUUAGUUACUAUUGGCGGAUACAAUUCAAAUAUUUUGUUCCUAAUCUAGCUCGAUAUUUGCGUUAGUCAUAUUUAUUUUAUAUAUUUUGUUAUAAAUCUGAUUUGUAUCGGUUUUUAUUGAUUUACACCUUUCUAAAUUUUGUUUCAAACAUUUUGUUCUCAAUCUAGGGAUAUUUGCGUUAUGCAUUAUAUUUAUAUACUAGUUUAAGAUCCGCGCCUUGCGCGAGAUGAAUAUUUUAUAUACACAUUAUUUUUACGUAUUAUUAUUUAUUUAACAUUUUUUAUAUAUUAUGAAACAAAUUAAUAAAUGUAUAUUGAAUAAUUGAAAAACUAUUAACUGUUAUGUGUAUAAUUAAAUUGAGACAAAUGCAUAAAUUAAAGAAAUUAUUAUUUUUUAUUUACAGUCAUACAUUUAAGCAAUUAUUUUCUCUAUUUUGUAUUUUAUGUAAUUAAAUUAAAAUAAUAUUAACAUAGAUAUAUAGUAUAUUUUCAUAUGACUAUAUAUUAAAUGAAAAUUACUAAUCAUAUGAUUUUAUGAGCAUUUUUAUUUUUUAACAAAAUUUUAAACGAUUAAUAACAAAACUUUUAGUGUGGGACUUUUAAUAUUUUUUAAUAAUUUAUAAUCAUUCUUGAAAAUUAAAUUCAAAUUUCAAAAUUAAAAUACUAAGUUCUCAAUUUAAAGUUUUAAACCAUUGAUCACAAAAUUUUCAAUGUGAAACUUUCAACAGUUUUCGUAAUUUAUAGUCGUUUUUAAUAAUUCAAAAUAUAACAAUAUACAAAAAAAACUAAAAUUUUAUUAUAUGGUUAAUAUGAUUAUUUAAUUUAUUUUGAUAAUAUAACAUUAAACAAAAAUAAUUGAGGAUAUGUAAAUUGUCAUCAAAUCUUUAUUAUUAAAAUCAUUAAUUGUCAAAUAUAUAUUCUAUUUAAUUCCGUAACUUUUAUUUAAGGAAAGAAUAAAAAAUAUUAAUUGUAAAUUGUCAAUUAAUUUAUGGUUCAUUUAAUUUUUUUGGCAUCGUUUUUUCUGUCUGGUUUAUUAUGCUAUUACAAAUGAGAAACAUUACAUAGACGAUAUUACAGCCGACAAUUCUACCUGCCUUAUGAGAAUUCACGCCUGACUGCAUCACCCUGAGUAACCCUAUGAGAUCCAUUCCUGACGGUACUCCUUGAUCCAUUUAAUUUUUUUGGCAUCGUUUAUGGUUAGUUUAAUAAAAAAUAUAUAAUAUAAGUUUAGUGGAUCAACAUAUUUCUCUAGAGAUUUUAAGAAGCAUUCUAGUGAUGACACAUGUGAUAGCUAAAAUGUUGUAAUGCUUAUCUUUUAAUAUAUAGGGGAUAUAUUUUAUAUCGGAUUUGUAUUAAUUUAUUUUGACCGACACAUUUCAAAAUAAUUAUUUCCAAUCUAAAUAGAUCUUUGAUCGCCUCAAUCUAUUAUACGUUACUUGAUAAGUUUAAAUUUAAAGAAACCUUAAUUUUAACUAGAACUUGAUGCGUGCAUCCGUGUGAAUGUUUAAUUUAAUUUGUAUUCAACAUAAACUCAUAAACCGCUGGUUUUAUAAAAAAUUCUCAUGUAUAUUUUUUUAUGUUUUGUAAUUUACAUAUAGAGUAGAAUAUAUUAUUUUAUAAUAUAUAUGUUUGAUAAUAAGUUUUUAUUUGAUGCAAUUUGAUGUAAUAUAGGAAAGGAUAUCUCCCUUUAAUACAUGCAAAAAUAUUGAAUGGUCAAUAUAUGAAUAUCGAUUUGGUUAGAUAAGUUUCAGAAUUGUAACUAAUUAAUUUUAGUGCAAAAAAAUAUAAAAAGAAAUAUUUAAUUUAUUGUACAUGCAAUCGCUGAAUGUGUAAAUAAAAGUAAGUAUUAAAAAUAUUUUUAUUCAUGUUUUCAAACACUUCUCACUUUUACUGUUAUUUAUGUUUAUAAAAAGUACCAAAAUGUACUUUAGUUUAAUAAUAUAGAUGAAUUAUGCUGAAACUUCAUGCCACUAAAAAGUAUUGGAAAAAAAAUCCAUUUUUUUCUAAAUCAUUUAAGGGUCUUAAAGUUUAAUUAUACACGCACAAUCUACUACAUACUUUUAUAGUUAUUAUAUUUCAACAAAUUGUAUGCAUUAUAUAUAUUUAAGUUAGGAUUAUUUUAUUUAUAAAAUGAACAUUUAUUUGUAUAAUAAAUAACAAGGAAGAGUUGAUAAGUUUAAAUUAUAUAUAAUAGAUAUAAUAUUUGAUAACUUUCAUCUAUUUUACACUACUUGAUAAGUUUAAAUUUAAAGAAACAUUUAGUUUAAUUAUAUUGAAACUUAAUGCCACUAAAAAAAUAUUUGCACACCCAAUUAUUUACCUAAAUCACAUAAGGGUCUUAAAGGUUAUUUACACAAGCAAUCUAUUAAAUUCUACAUACUUUUAUGUUGAUGAUUAUUAUAUACAAAAUUUAAGUUAAUAUUAUUUUUAUAAAAUGAACAUUUAUUUAUAUAAUAGAUCACAAAAUUAAGUUCUUCAUUUUCCACAAUUUUGUCAAUUUAUUGAUAUAUUUAUAUUUUGAUAAGUAAUAAAUUUUUAUUUUUAUUUCUUUUUUUUAGAAAUUACUGUAUUUUGGCUCAAUGAACUGUUUAUUUUUUUUUUCAUUUUUUUGAAAAUAUAUUUUUAUUUAUCUUUUUAUAUAAUAUGUUUUUCAGAAUAUUUCCUUUGUUUUUGCUAAAACUAUUUUUAAUAUAUACCUUAAAUUAUUUCUAGAUUCACUUUAAAAAUAUUGCUAUCACCAAGAUGUAUAUUGCUAAUUAAAUUUGUCAUGGAAGACUGUAAGCUGGUGCUUGGUGUGCUUCCUAUUUGGGCCGCCGCUGCUAGUAUGCACAUUGUUACUUGAGUUUCUUCAGAAUAUCUUUGAGAUUUUAGCUUUGAGAAGAGUAGGUGCUGAAACGGUUAACAUUUCCAAAAACACUUAAUAAAGUUCUUUAAGUGUUUGUGGUUAUUUAGAAGCGUAGAUGGCCUAGGUUUUAUCACCAUGACUAGUGCCAAAAUAAAGCGAAAUGCUAGAGAAGUAUACAUAAUGAAAUUAUGAGUUUUGUACAAGUUGAGCGCCAGGAGGGGUUAGAGAACUAUGCAUAAUGAAGUUAUGAAUUUUGACACAAGUUGAGUUUAAGGAGAGCUGCGCAUUGCCCAACUAUGAAUUGGCAGAAAAUAAUCCACCUUCCGUUUAGGUAUUGGAGGACUGACAUCAUUUUUGAGAUGAAAAAAAAAUACGAGAUAUAAUAAGAAAAAAAAACAAGCUAAAUUUCUCUCAGUAAUUAGAACUUAGAAGGUAAAGUUUAAUGAUCUACACAUGGAUGCGAUGCGAGCUCCAUAUUUAUAGUUAGAAAAGCUAAUACUACAAUUUUUUUGUAAGAAAACUUUCCUAAUAACUUGUUUAUAGUUAGAAAGCUCCUUAUUUAUAGUUAGAAGGCUCCAUAUUAAUGUUGCAUGCACGCAAUUAAAAUAAUACGCGCAACGGAUUUGAAAACACACUAGAGUUUGCUAUAUCUUGCAAGCGUUAGCAUAUGUAGGCAGUGGCUAAACUUUAACUUAAAUGUGUUCAUAAUUUCAUAUACAUAUUACAUAUCAAAGUGGGUAAAGUAAGGGUACAUUCCAAUAUUUGAAUAGGGUCCAUUGAAACUUAAAGCCUCCCUGCCUGCAUGCAUGACUUCGAGGAAGUUUUGGAUUCGGCGGGAACAAGAAACGAUAUUUAAACCUGAAUUUUGGAAAUAUGAAAUACAGAAAAAUCGUAACUUGAGGCCAAGAUGGCCCAAUAGCUGCCCAUUAGAAUGCUUACAAACAUUUCAUCAAAAAAGAAUUACUAAACGCCAGUUGUGCGUCCCUCCUCAAGACACUAGGGGAAAACCCAAUGAACCAGGAGCACAAAGUGGCUCGUUAGGUGUCUGGGUCGAUAGGGGCACCGGUUCUAGCCUGUGAGAUCCUGUUUGCUUAGAUGGUCACUAGGCGAAGUGUUGAACCUGUGUACUGUUUAGACCUUCCAAAUACGGCAAGAAUGCUUUCCCAAUCAUUAUAUAUAUGUCUACUAGACAGAACACCACUGUCUGCAACAACAACAACACCAAAAAAACACACGAGAAUAAGUUACUGGUCGCAAAGUCAAAAGUUUCUUUAAAGCUAUCUUUAAAUUCCCGAUUUGAUUUUUACCUUUCGGACAUCUGCGCUUUGGUUCCCAAAUGCUUCAAAAACCGCAUGCAUGGAGAAUGCAUGAAGCCAACUUAACUUUGGUUUUAAAUAUCAAAUUAAAGUAGUAUAUGAUAAUAUUUAAAUGAUGUUGGUUUCCAUUAAAAAAAAUCAAAUUUGUCAAAUGCCAACAACUCAGUCGCUUAUAGAUAUAUAUUCUAAUAGCAGAAAUUUAUUAAUUGUUAUAGAUGAUUAUCAGUGCAUUCAGAUAUGAAACAUUUAAUGGUCACAACAGCAUUGAUCCGGAUUUUCCCAGCCAACGCAUUGGCCAGAUUGGUAUCCCAUCCUGAUGCAAGCAGUCGGACAGUCAAAAAUCAUUCCACACAGUCCAAUGCAUUGUGGCUCGGCUUCAACUUUUUCUACAUUUCACCGAAACCAAAAUAAAGAAAAGAGUAUUGAGAUAUUAGUAUAUAAUGUGUAUAAUAUAGAGAUACAAAAUAGUAUAUAAUGUGUAUGAUACUUUGCAUAGUUUGCUAUUAAAUAGAUAUGAUGAGAUCUGCAAUCAUAUACGGAAUACCUGGAACCACGAGAAAUAUGAUGAGUACUGAAGCAAUCAUUAGGAAGCUCAUGAAUCCAAUCUUGCAAUUUAUCUUCAUGGUAUUGUAACUAUAUUACCUCUUUUUCUUAUCAAUUCAAUAUAUCACCUUUGGCCCUUUGCUUUAUUAUAUCUUUGAGUUUCUUUUAUCGAUUUUAAGAUUCAAACAGAAUCUGAUUUUAGUUUAACCAUUAUAAGAAGGAAAAGAAAAACAAAAUCAGAUUUUUAUUAGACUAUUAGUUACUAUUGGCGGAUUUUGUUCCUAAUCUAUAUGGAUAUUUGCGUUAUUCAUAUUAUUCCUAAUCUGAUUUGUAUCAAUUUUUAUCUGCACAUUUCUAAAUUUCGUUUCAAAUAUUUUGUUCUCAAUCUAGAGAUAUUUUCGUUAUUCAUUAUAUUUUUAUAUAUUAUUUUCUUUUUUUAUAUCUGCUUUGUAUUGAUUUUCAUUUGACUGACAUAUUUCAAAAUAGUUAUUUCCAAUCUAAAGAGAUCUUUGAUCCCCUCAAUCUAUUAUACAUUACUUGAUAAGUUUAAAUCUAAAGAAACCUUUAUUUCAAAAAUUUCUGUUUUAUUCAUUUUUAUACAAAAUAUGUUUUUCUGAAUAUUUUCUUUGUUUUUGCUAUAACUAUUUUUUUUUUAAUAUAUCCAUUGUAGAUAACUAUCACUAUGACUAGUAUGCACAUUGCUACUUGAGUUUCUCAGGAACUAUCUUUGAGAUUUUAGCUUUGAGAAGAGUAGAUUACCAGACGGUUAACAUUGCUACUUGAGUUUCUCAGCUACUUGAGUUCUUUAAGUGUUUGUGGUUACUUAGAAGCGUAGAUGGCCUAGGUUUUAUCACCAUGACUAGCUACAGAAUAAGGGAAGGUUUAAUGAAAUUAUGAAUUUUGCACUAGUUGAAUGCAAGGAGAGAGGUACGAACAGGCAUAGUAUAAACUGGCAAAAUAGAUACCAUUAAGAGAUUGGAGGUCUGACAAAAAAUUUGUUGACAUAAUAUUUUUGAGAUGAAAAAAAAAUACGAGGAUAAUAAGAAAAAAACAAGCUAAGUUGCUCUCAGUAAUUAGAAAGUAAAGUUUAGUGAUCUAAAAAAUAAGCUAGUUGCUCUCAGUAAUUAGAAAGUAAAGUUUAGUGAUAAAAACAAAAGCUAAAGUUGCUCUGUUCGAACAUUUUAUUUUUAUUUUUAUUUUAAAUCAAUAAUAUGGAAAUAUUGUUUUAAUGCAUAGUUGCAUCUUUUACUAACAUCGAUGAAGGUCAAAGAGGUUUGAAACCUCUGUUGUCUCUGUUUUUCUAGAGAAUAACGAUUUAAUAGUGGUUAGACCACCAAUUUAGGGAGUAUUAUGAAGUUUUACUAAAUUAAUUGACAAAAAAUUAAAUUGAUGCCAAGUACCAUAAAAAAUAGUUUAAUAUACAUUACUAUACAAAUGUAGAAUGUCUUUAGAAAUUUUAAAACAACACUAAAGAUCAUAGGCUUCAGAAUAUAGAACAUUUACCGAAAAACUCAAUACUUUCGUAGGGUUUAACACAUACAUUUUGAUAAAAAUUCAAAAUAUAAAAAUAAUGUUUUAAUGCAUAGUUGCAUCUUUCAAUAACAUAUGAUGAAAGUCAAAGAGGUUUGGAACUUUGGUUGUUUCCGUUUCUCUAGAAAAUAACGAUUUUAUAGUGGUUAGUCCAUCAAUUUAGGGAGUAUUAUGAAGUUUUACUAAAUUAAUUGACAAAAAAAUUAAAACGCUGCCCAUGUACCAUAAAAGAGAGUUGAAUAUAUAUUACAACAAAUGUAGAAUGUGUUUAUAAAUUUUAAAACAACUCUAAAGAUCAUAGGCUUCAGUAUAUAGAGCAUUCACCGAAAAAUUCAAUAUUUUCGUAGGGGUUAACACAUAGAUUUUUAGAAAAUUUCAAAAAUAUGUAAAUACUGUCUUAAUGCGUAGUUGCAUCUUUCGCUAACAUAUAUGAUGAAGGUCAAAGAGGUUUGGAACCUUCGUUGUCUCUGUUUUUCUAGAGAAUAGCGUUUUAUAGUGGUUGUUCACCAAUUUAGUGAGUAUUAUGAAGUUUUAAUAAAUUAAUUGACAAAAAAUUAAAACCUUUCGUAGGGUUUAACACAUACAUUUUGAUAAAAAUUCAAAAUAUAAAAAUAAUGUUUUAAUGCAUAGUUGCAUCUUUCAAUAACAUAUGAUGAAAGUCAAAGAGGUUUGGAACUUUGGUUGUUUCCGUUUCUCUAGAAAAUAACGAUUUUAUAGUGGUUAGUCCAUCAAUUUAGGGAGUAUUAUGAAGUUUUACUAAAUUAAUUGACAAAAAAAUUAAAACGCUGCCCAUGUACCAUAAAAGAGAGUUGAAUAUAUAUUACAACAAAUGUAGAAUGUGUUUAUAAAUUUUAAAACAACUCUAAAGAUCAUAGGCUUCAGUAUAUAGAGCAUUCACCGAAAAAUUCAAUAUUUUCGUAGGGGUUAACACAUAGAUUUUUAGAAAAUUUCAAAAAUAUGUAAAUACUGUCUUAAUGCGUAGUUGCAUCUUUCGCUAACAUAUAUGAUGAAGGUCAAAGAGGUUUGGAACCUUCGUUGUCUCUGUUUUUCUAGAGAAUAGCGUUUUAUAGUGGUUGUUCACCAAUUUAGUGAGUAUUAUGAAGUUUUAAUAAAUUAAUUGACAAAAAAUUAAAACGAUGCUCAUGUACCAUGAAAGAGAGUUUAAUAUACAUUAAUAUAAAUGUAGAAUGUGUUUAAAUUUUUUUAAAACAACACUAAAAAUCAUAUACUUUAGUAUAUAGAGUAUUUACCAAAAAUUCAAAUUUUUUGUAGGGGUUACACAUAGAUUUUGAGAAAAAAAAUUCAAAAUUAUAAAAAUAUUGUUUUAAUGCAUAGUUGCAUCCUUCACUAACAUAUGAUGAAAGUCAAAGAGGUUUACAACCUUUGUUGUCUCCGUUUUUCUAGAGAAUACCGGUUUUAUAGUGGUUAGUCCACCAAUUUAUGGAGUAUUAUGAAAUUUUACUAAAUUAAUUGACAAAAAAUUUAAAACGAUGCCCAUGUCCCAUGAAAGAGAGUUGAGUAUACAUUAAUAAAAAUGUAGAAUGUGUUUAGAAAUUUUAAAACAACACUAAAGAUCAUAGGCUUCAGUAUAUUGAGCAUUUAACAAACAAGAAAAGGGUUUAGGUAGGAUAGUGCGAUGUAGUCCAAUGGCUAAAGCUCUGCCCGCUUCUUGUAGAUUUUCAGAAAAUUUCAAAGACAUGAAAAUACUGUUUUAAUGCAUAUUUGCAUCAUUCACUAACAUAUGAUGAAGGUCAAAGAGGUUUGGAACCGUCGUUGUCUCCGUUUUUCUAGAGAAUAGCGAUUUUAUAGUGGUUACUUCACCAAUUUAGUGAGUGUUAUGAAGUUUUACUAAAUUAAUUGACAAAAACUUAAAACGAUGUCCAUGUACCAUGAAAGAGAAUUUAUAAUACAUUAAUACAAAUAUAGAAUGUGUUUAGAAAUUUUAAAACAACACUAAAGAUCAUAGGCUUCAGUAUAUAGAGCAUUUACCGAAGAAUUCAACAUUUUCGUAUGGGGGUUAACACAUAGAUUUUGAGAAAAAAAUUCAAAAAUAUGAAAAUACUGUUUUAAUGCAUAGUUGUAUCCAUCACUAACAUAUGAUGAAGUUCAAAGAGGUUUAGAACAUUUGUUGUCUCCAUUUUUCUAGAGAAUAGCGGCUUUAUAUUGGUUAGUCCACCAAUUUAGGCAGUAUUAUGAAGUUUUACUAAAUUAAUUGAUAAAAAAUUAAAACGAUGCCCAUCUCCCAUGAAAGAAACUUUAAUAUACAUUAAUACAAAUAUAGAAUGUCUUUAAAUUUUUUAAAACAACACUAAAGAUCAUAGGCUUCCGAAUAUAUAGCAUUUACCGAAAAAUUCAACAUUCAUAGAUUUUGAGAAAAAAUCAAAAAUAUGAAAAUAAUGUUUUAAUGCAUAGUUGCAUCCUUCACUAACAUAUGAUGAAGUUCAAAGAGGUUUAGAACUUUUAUUGUCUCCGUUUUUCUAGAGAAUAGCGACUUUAUAGUGGUUAGUCCAACAGUUUAGGGAGUAUUAUGAAGUUUUACUAAAUUAAUUGACAAAAACUUAAAACGAUGCCCAUGUACCAUGAAAGAGAGUUUAAUAUACGUUAAUACAAAUGUAGAAUAUGUUUAGAAAUUUUAAAACAACACUAAAGAUCAUAGCCUUCAGUAUAUAGAAUAAUUACCAAAAAAUUCAAUAUUUUGGUAGGGUUAACACAUAGAUUUUGAGAAAAUUUCAAAAAAUAUGAAAAUACUGUUUUAAUGCAUAGUUGCAUCUUUCACUUACAUAUGAUGAAGGUCAAAGAGGUUUUGAACUUUUGUUGUGUCCGUUUCUCUAGAAAAUAACGAUUUUAUAGUGGUUAGUCCACCAAUUUUGGAAGUACUAUGAAGUUUUACUAAAUUAAGUGACAAAAAAUGAAAAUGAUGCCCAUGUACCACAAAAGAGAGUUUAAUAUACAUGAAUACAAAUAUAGAGUGUGUUUAGAAAUUUUUUAAGAAAACAUUAAAGAUCAUAGGCUUCGUUAUAUAGAGCAUUUACCAAAAAUUUAAUAUUUUCGUAAGGAUAACACACAGAUUUUGAGAAAAAUUCAAAAAUAUGAAAAUACUGAUUUAAUACAUAGUUACAUCCUUCACUAAAAUAUAAUGAAGGUUAAAGAGGUUUGGAACUUUUGGAACUUUUGUUGUCUCCGUUUCUCUAGAAAAUAACGAUUUUAUAGUGGUUAGUCCACCAAUUUAGGAAGUAUUACAAAGUUUUACUAAAUUAAUUGACAAAAAAUUAAAACGAUGCCCAUGUACCAUAAAUGUGAGUCUAAUAUACAUUAAUACAAAUGAAGAAUGUGUUUAGAAAUUUUAAAACAACACUAAAGAUUAUAGGCUUCAGUAUAUAGAGCAUUUACCGAAAAAUUCAAUAUUUUCGUAGGGGUUAACACAUAGAUUUUGAGAAAAAUUCAAAAAUAUGAAAAUAUUAUUUUAAUGCAUAGUUGCAUCAUUCACUAACAUAUGAUGAAGGUCAAAGAGGUUUCUCCGUUUUUCUAGAGAAUAGCGAUUUUAUAGUGGUUAGUCCAACAAUUUAAGGAGUAUUAUGAAGUUUUACUAAAUUAAUUGACAAAAAAUUUAAACGAUGCCCAUUUACCAUAAAAGAGAGUUUAAUAUACAUUAAUACAAAUGUAGAAUAUGUUUAGAAAUUUUUAAAACAACAAUAAAGAUCAUAGGCUUCAGUAUAUAGAGCAUUUACCGAAAAGUUCAAUAUUUUCGUAGGGUUAACACAUAGAUUUUGAAAACAAUUAAAAAAAAUAGGUAUAAAUUUUUAAUAAUAUGUUGUCAUAAUUAUAAUGAUUUUACUGUAACAAAAAUAAGAAUUAUGGAAAAUUUAUUUAUAAAACAGAUACAAAGAAACUGAAUGAAUCAAAUAUAGUACUUUAAACUAUAUUUAUAUGUGUUGGUAUAUAUCUUAAUUUCUAAAUACAAGAAAUAUUGUUAUACCGUGACCAACUUUUUAGUUUGAAUUUUACCAAAAAAAACUUUUUAGUUUGAAUACAACUACCUCACAAGCCAUUCAUAAAUAUGUUUAUAUAGUAUUUCGUUAAAAUAAUAAUAUAUUCUGAUUAAUAAUUAUAAAAUUACUAUUUAUUAAUAAAUAAUUUUAAAUUAAAUUAUUUUGACCCAUGCAUAGCAUGGGAGUAACACUAGUUUUAGCUAAAUCGAAAGCAACGGUGGUGGGUCAGGAUAUAGUAAUUAAGACCGACCCAAACCGGUGGUUUGAACAUUGAAUUUGCUAAUUCGAAUUUUCUGAUUUGAACCGGGUCUUUUUUUAAGUUUACGCAAAAAAGGGGAAAGCAAACUUAAUUUAACCACAAGUGUACGAAGAAUUUUGCGUGAUACUUUCCAAAUUUGUGUUAUUUUUAUUUCCCUUAACAUUAAUGUAAAUCUGCAAAUUUUCAAAAGUUUCACAUUAUCUAGUAGCAUCUACCGCAACAAAGGAAAGAAAAUCUGUGAAUAUAUAUAUUUAAUUCGUUUCACCAAAAAAUGGAAAUUUUUUAAGUCGGUCGACCUUAUAUAAAUCUUCAUAAGUUGUCCCACUUUAUUCUUGACCCUAUCAAAAAAAAAGUUAGAAGAAGAAAGAUGGUUGCAUACAUCAAAAAUAACGUUUUUUUAGUUUUUAUGAUUGUUUUGCUUCGUGUUGUUUCAUCAUAUGCAAGACUUAGUAUGAUGGUUACAAAAGGUGAGAUCGAGUCCAUUUGCAAUAAAAAAGAUGUCGAUUCUACACUCUGUUUUGAGGUUCUAAAACCAAAUCCUACAAUUGCAAAGUUGGAUUUUACUGGUCUCGCCAACUUUAUGAUCAAUUAUACGUCUCGAAACGUUUCGGAUGUAUUGAAGGAAAUAAAGUUGUAUGAAGGCAACACGACGGAUUUACAGACAAAUAUGCGAAGAGAUGUAUAACCUUUCUCUUAUUUGGGAUGAUCAUGCUCUGAAAGCUUUGGGAGCCAAGGAUUACGACAGCGUAAACUUUAAUGUCGGAGGUACAUUGGGCAACAUGAUUACGUGCAAUGAGGAAUUAUCAACAAUGGAGCCAGUACCACAAUCCUUGAUCGCAAAGAAUACUGUUAUAAAAAAUCUGUCUAAUAUUGUUUUAACGAUUCUGGAAUGUUUCAUAAGAAAGGGAAGCAUCUAUUGUAGUCAUUAGCCCAACUAAUGAAGUUGUUUGGUUUUUAAGUUUUUUUUUCAUUCAAGUUGUUUUUCUUAGCUUGUUAUGCUUUAAUCUUUAUUUAUCUACUAGGUUAAGAAUAUUAUAUAUAAAUUAUUUUCAAGUAUUAUAUAUUUUUUACAUAUUAUGAAAUAAUAAAUAUAUAUUGAAUAAUUAAAAAUUUAGUAACUAUUACGUCUAUAAUUAAAUUGGUACAAAUACUUAAAUAAAUUUUAUUUAUCCAGACAAAUAUUUUUUGUAUUUUAUAUAUUAUAAAAUUAAGUUUAAAUGAUAUUAACAUAGAUAUAUAGUAUAUUUUUAAUAUUGAUAUCUGUUAAAAAUAUUUUAUACUCAUAUUAUUUUUGAUCGCUUAUUUCUUUAUAACAAAAUUUUUAAAUCAAUGAUAACAAUAAAAAAUUUAUGAGAUGUUUAAUAGUUUUAGUAAUUUAUAAUUUUAAGAACAUUCAAUGCAUAGUUUAAAAUCUAAAUAUUAAAUUGUCAAUAAUUGUUCAAAAUGUUUAUCAAAAAGUUUCAAAUCAAAUUCGAAAUUAAAAUACUUAUGUAUUUUAUAUGGUAUAUAAUUUAUUUUUAAAAAAUAUUAAUAUGCAUAUAUAUAAUAUUUAUUAAAUAAGACUUCCUAGUUCCUACUUAUGUAAUUUUGUAAUAAUUUUUAUCUUGUUAUAAGAUAAAUUUUAAACCAUGGAUCACAAAAAUUUCAGUGUGAGAUUUUUAACAACUUUAGUCAUUUAUAUUUGUUUUUUAAAAUUCAAAAUAUAACAUAUACGAAAAAAUCUAAAUUUUUAUUAUAUAGUUAAUGUUGUUGUUUAAUUUAUUUUAAAAUGAAUUAAAAAUGAUAGAGAAUAGACUAAUUUUUAUCAAACCUUUAUUAUUCAAAAUCAUUAAUUGUCAUAUAUACUUUAGUCACAUUAGGUAAUUCCGUGAUUUUUAUAUAAGGAAACAAUGAAGAACAUUUAUGAUUAAUUUAUGGUUUGUUUAAUAAAAAGUUUAUUAUAUAUUUAUAUGGAUCAACAUAUUUUUUUAAAGGAUUAUAAGAAUGAUUGUGGUGAUGACAUGUGGUUACAAAAAUAUGUUAUAAUGUUUCUCCUAUAUAUAGGGGAUUAGCGGUGGUUAAAAAAUUGUUAAAAGGAAAUUCAUCUUAUUAUUAAUCAUAUGCUUAUGGUUUACUCUUUUAAAUAUACUAUUCAUUAUAACAAAAAUACGUAAUUAGUACGAAUGUUGGCUCCAUAUUUUAUUAAAUAAAUUUCAUCCAUAUAGACACUAUAUAAACAAAUUAUAUGACUCUUUUUAAAAAGUCAGAAUAAUAAUAUUAAUAAUAUUACGUUAAUUUACAGAAAAAAAUGAUUGACUAAAAGAAAAAAUAAAGAAAAUUAAUUUAAAAUUAACGUAAAAUAGGGAAGAUCAAAGUGAUAAGACAGAGAAGCGUGGCAUAGAAUCAGUGGCUCAAAUCUCACAAAAAUCUCCAACUCUCCUCCUUGGAUAAGAGAAGUAUCCAGAAGCCUUUCACUUCCACUGAUCCAUCCUUCUAAUAUUCCCAAAACCAUCUCACAAAACUCACUCCUCAACUCUCUCUCUCUCUCUCUCAUCUCCAAGCCCCUCCGACCAAUGGCGGCGACAAUGGCAACAUCAGCCACAUGCAUGUCCUUAAACCCAUCUCCUCCUAAGUCCCCAAACCAAACCAAACCCAUCUCCUCAUCAAAACCCUUCAUCACCCUCCCAACACCACUAAAACCCACCGUCUCUCUCGCCGUCACAAGCACCGCCCUCGCCGGCGCCGUAUUCUCCACCCUCAGCUACUCCGAACCCGCCUUCGCUGCCCACCAGAUCGCCGAGCUCGCGGCAGCGGCCGCGGGAGGUAGCGACAACCGAGGACU
RNAcentral lists this long non-coding RNA (84852 nucleotides) under Brassica napus (rape). Its description in RNAcentral is "long non-coding RNA (BNAP_LNC018023)". The stretch from base 28505 to 28590 matches the Rfam family "tRNA". The record is from RNAcentral. Lineage: Eukaryota; Viridiplantae; Streptophyta; Magnoliopsida; Brassicales; Brassicaceae.